AAACAAACAAUGUGUGCUUCAUCUUGCUUAGUUGUAUUCAAAAGAGAAUGCAAACCAGGCCCAAGCCCAGUGUUGGAAUAAAGAUCAACAUUAAUCAUCACUGAUAUGUCCCAAUUAUUUUCUUAUUACACUAUGAUAUCAGUUCAAACUAAUAGAUGAUAAUACAUUUAUACAUCCAACUCUCAACAUUAUUCAUCAAUCUAUGUAUGUAUUUUACGUACUUGUAAUAUUGUGUGUUACAAAUCAAGCAGUACUAUCUCUUGCAUGGAGGCAGAGGAGAACCACAGAGACGAUCAUUUCCUAUAAAUGAUUCAACUGGGAACUUUGUUCUUGUUGUUGGAAUUGGCCCACUCAGUUGAUUGUAUGACAGGUCAAGCUCGUCAAGCUUUUGAAAAUUCUUAAGGUAAUCAGGGAUUCUACCAGUUAAAGCGUUAUGGCUAGCCCUGAAAACUUGAAGUUGUGGUGCCAAGAAUGAAAAUGAAGGUGGAAUCUCACCAGAGAGUUUGUUGUAGGAAAGAUACAACUCUCUAAGAGCAAGUGACUUGAAAAAAUCUGGAAUCUUGCCAGAAAGUUGAUUGUUCUGGAGUCUCAAAUAUGUCAUAUUUCUCAAAUGCCGAAUACCAUAAGGAAUCCCACCAGAAAUUUUGUUGUCAUCAAGAUCAAGCUCAAGUAAGUGAGUGAAUUGAGAAAUAGAGUUUGGAAUUGAACCUGUGAAUUGGUUACCAUAUAGAUUCAAUAAUUGAAACCGAUCAGAUUUUGGGCCUAUAUCAAUAUGAAGUUGACCAGAAAGUUUGUUGUUUCUUAUGAAAACAAACUGUAGCCUUGGAAGAUUGAAUAUUUCUUUCGGUAGAGUGCCGGUAAUGUUUGUAUAUUGAAUGGAUAUAUGGCUUAACCGCAGAACUUUAAUGAAUAGUGAAGGGGAAAUUGUGCCUGUUAAGAAGCUACUUGUAUUAGUAGAAUCUCCAUAAAGGGAUAAUUCGGUGACUCGGUCUGUAUUGAUGCAGUAUAUGCCGGACCAACUGCAACAAUCUGUAUCGGGUAUCCAUGAGCUAAGCAUGCCCGAUGGAUCUUGAGUCAUUCCCGAUUUGAAUGCUAGUAGACCAGCUUCAUCAUCCACAUGGCAUUUUGCAAAGCAAAGUGGAGAUAAAACUGUGAGCAAGAGAACAAGUACUAGAGCAAGAUGAUGAGUAGUAGAAGUGAAAGCCAAUGCCAUAACGAAAUGAUAAGUUAGUUGACAUGGUAUUAAGCCGUGAGAAGAGUUUGUUUAUAUAAGGUUCUUUUGUGUUUCCAGAAGAGUUUGAAUGUCUUAGGUGGACAUCAACUUGGGGCAAAUACAUACAGGACUAAUCCGCCGUUAAAUAAGAAUAAGAAAUUUAUUUCGUUUAAUCUUCUUGUUCAAUGGUACAUAAUUUGAUAUUUAUAAGUCAAGUUCGAUGGCUUUGUGGAGAAGAUUGCAAAAUGAAAUAAAGGAAAGAGUACACGAAGACAGGUAUAAAUGGAUAAAUGCCAUGACCAUAGGAAUAUGGGAUGACGGGAAUUCAAUAUAUUGUCCAACAAGUGGGGAUAACCGGAUAAGGAUAUAAGGUAGGUGUGAGUAGGAAAAUUUUCCUUGAUCUCCAUUGAACUGGUCCCUGCCCAUUAACGGAAUCAAUAUUCAAUAGCCUGCAUUUAAUUUCUUUUGUCAGUUCUAAACCCCUGUGAAUAGCUUCAGGUUCCACACAUAACAUUAUAAAAAAAAAACCAGCGAUACAAGUCCAAGCAAACAGAGUAAAUAACCAAGAUCAAAUUGAAACAGAAUUUGGGCAGGGGGUGAGGCUCUCAACAUAAUGUAGGAAAGUACAAGUCACUUGUUGCCUGAGCUUGAAAGAUGUCACUUGUUACCAUUUUUGUGGAAAUGCUAUGAGGUUCAUACUGUAUAACUUCUGCUAUUCUCCUAUGUUUAGGUCCCUCAGAACCCAAAUAUCCCAUUGACAUAACUCACGACUUUGUGCCUCCAUAUUUGGUGCCACAAGAGAUAGACAACAUUCUAUUUCAUGUAAUACAUCCAUUAUAGAGAACCAGAAUGUAGGGACGUCUGACUUGUAAAACUUCUCCCCAGCAGUGUCAAAAGAAAUAAAAGUUACUUGAAGAAAUAAUAGUCCAAGAUUGUAACAUAUCAUUUUCAUAGUAAGCACCACAAAUAAAAUGAAAGACUCCGUUGAUGAUAACAGAAUAUGUCACGACAUACCGGUGAAGUAAGCGCUUGAAAGGCGAAUGUAUCCAUUUCCAUUUACCAAAAGUAGACCAAGAGUAAGCAUUUCACAUUUCAAGGAUCCAGUUUCGUUAAAAAUAUAUUCUUCAGUAGAACCAAGGAAUGUGAUACCGCGCAUAAUAUCUAUAAUUUUGGGCUAUUGAGUACAAGGAGGCAAUUCGACACACUGAUUAGUAACAGGAUUAACAACUAUUAGACGUCCCACACUCGGCAUAUCGUCUAGUAAUAGUAAGCCAUGCAGCUACUUUUCACAAUUUUUUGCAUUUUAAUUUGAAUUGACUAACACUAAAACUCCUGACAUUAUCAAAUUGUAUAUUAUCAAGGUCAACAUAUCUGUACUCAUUACCUGCCUGACUGCCUCUGAUAGGAAAGCAGUUCUUGAUAUGGCAAGAACACCAGGAAUUGAUUGACGAAGGUGAGCAUCUAUAAAUCUGGAACUAUUGAUCAACUCAAACCAUUGUUUGCAAAUAUACCUCAUUCUUUGUAUUUUCUGCGCACAGCACAACGGGGUCGGCAUCGGACACCCACAAGGCAAGGUUAUCUCGUGUUUUAGACAGGAAUCAGGGGCUGAAGCAUCAUGAGCAUGUCAAAUAUGAUAUUCUCGUACAGAUAUGGAAUAAUUAAAUCACCGUUCUUGUGCUCGCAAAUGGUCUUGCUUAGAAGACCUUUGUGAUUUUCCAUCUUUAGCUAAUAUGAAAUUUGCUACCUAAAUAAAAAGAAAAAAAUAAUAAUUAAGGAAUAUGAGAGGUUAUUUAAUCAUAGGAGCUGAUACAUAUCCACUAUAUUUUGCAAUGGCAAUGGCAGGGGAGCAUAUCAGCAGUCAAGUUGUUCCAUCGGAUCAUGGGUUGGCAAUGGCAGGGGAGCAUAUCAGCAGUCAAGUUGUUCCAUCGGAUCAUGGGUUGGCAAUGGCAGGGGAGCAUAUCAGCAGUCAGUUUAUUAGUAUAUAUCUUAUUCUCAAAUUAUGAAGUGUGGUUUGUUAGCAUUUCAAAAAAAAAAAAACUAGGUCUCCAUUGUAAAAAUAUUGGCAUGAAGAUCAACAUUAUUCAUCCAUAUCUGAAUUAUUUUCUUAUUACACUGUAAUACCAGUUCAAACUAAUAAAUAAUACAUCCAAGCAAUUAUCAACAUUAUUCAUCAAUGUAUUGACUGUGCUACAAAUCAAACUAAUACUACUUCUUGCAUGGAGACAAAGGAAAACCACAGAGACGAUCAUUUCCUAUAAAUGAUUCAACUGGGAACUUUGUUGUUGGAAUUGGACCACUUAGUCGAUUGUACGACAGGUCAAGCUCGUCGAGCGUUUGGAAAUUCCUGAGGUAAUCAGGGAUUCUGCCAGUUAAAGCGUUAUGGCUAGCCCUGAAAAAUUGAAGUUCUGGUGCCAAGAAUGAAAAUGAAGGUGGAAUCCCACCAGAGAGUUUGUUGUAUGAAAGAUCAAAAUCUCUAAGAACAAGUGACUUGAAAAUAUCUGGAAUCCCACCGGAAAGUUGAUUGUUCUGAAGUCUCAAGUAUGUCAUAUUUCUAAAUUGCCGGAAACUAUAAGGAAUUCCACCAGAAAAUUUGUUGUUAUUGAGAUAAAGGCUAAGUAAGUGAGUGAAUUGAGAAAUAGAGUUUGGAAUUGAACCUGUGAAUUGGUUUCCAUCUAGUUCCAAAGAUUGAAACCGAUCAGAUUUUGGGCUUAUAUCAAUACGAAGUGGACCAGAAAGUUUGUUGUUUCUUAUAGUAAGAAACUGUAGCCUUGGAAGAUUAAAUAUAUCUUUGGGUAGAGUGCCAGUAAUGUUUGUAUUUUCAAUGAAUAUACGGCUUAACCGCCGAGCUUUAAUGAAUAAUGAAGGGGAAAUUGUGCCUGUUAAGAAGCUGUUAGGAUUAGUGGCAUCUCCAGAAAGGAAUAAAUCGGUGACUCGGUCGCUAGGUAAGUCGCUAGAAAAGCAGGUUAAGCCGGACCAACUGCAACAAUCUGUACCGGGUAUCCAUGAGCUAAGCAUUCCAGAUGGAUCUCGAGUGAUUCCUGAUUUGAAAGCUAGUAGACCAGCUUCAUCAUCCACAUGGCAUUUUGCAAAGCAAAGUGGAGAUAAAACUGUGAGCAAGAGAACAAGUAGUAGAGCAAGAUGAUGAGGAGUAGAAGUGAAAGCUAAUGCCAUAAUGAAAUGAAAUGAUAUAUUAAGUUGUGAGAAGAGUUUGUUUAUAUAAGGUUUUUUCCUGUUUCCAGAAGAGUUAAAUCGUCUUAGGUGGACAUCGACACGUACAGGACUUAUCUAAUCUGCCCUUUAAUAAGAAUAAGAAACUUUAUUUGCUGGUUUGUGAUUUUUACGAGUCAAGUUAGAUGGCUUCUUUUUGUGGAGACUGGAGACUGGAGACUGGAGAAGAUUACAAAUGAAAUAAAGGAAAUAGUACACCAAUACAGCCUGGUGUUAUGUAUGUUGUAUUGUUGUUGCCGCGUAUAGGUGCAUAAAUGCCAUGACCAUGGGUUGAUGGAAAUUCAAUAUAUAUUGUCCAACAAUUGGGGAUAACCGGAUAAGGAUAUAAGCUAGCCAGCUAGGUGUGAGUAGGUAAAUUUGCUUGAUCAACUCAUCAACAUAGUAUUUCAGUUUCCAGGAGAAGGAUAGGGAAGAGAUCGAAGGUGAGAAUAACACACAGUGAUUACGACAGAGGAAGGAGAUGUUCAAACAGAAAAUGUAGGGCUUCAGUACUUCAGUUACCCACCAUAGUUUGCCAAAUCCAAAAUCAAAGUCAAAUGUCAAACUAUGCAACCAACAUACAAACCUUCUGCUCUUCUUGCUCUCAUCAUUUGCUGCUAUUUUUAUUCCUUCAAACAAUCAAUAUAUUUAGAUAAGUUUUCUUUACAUUUUUAUUUUGCAUAUUUUUAAUAAAUAGAAAAUUUUAUAUACCUUGGUUUGGAUGUGUAAUGUGUUGUUAAUACUGACUAAUAAAAAUAAUUUUCAAUUCCUUAUUAAAUCUAUAAAUUGAUUUGUCAACUUUAAAUCAAGCAAAAAUGAUAGAUUGCGAAUGAGCUUGUGGCUCAAUGGUAGCACCCCUUUCACAACGUGGAGACCGGAGAGAUUGUAGGUUCGAAACACGUUAACAGUAGAUUAUUGAUAUAAGUUUCCACACGUAAUUUAAAAAGGGUAUGGUCCCCUCAACCUUGCUUGCCAAUCAAAAAAAAUAAUAGAUUUGAAUUUUAAUCUGGUCAUGUAACAACAUAUUCAAAUCAAUAAGCUUUAAUUUGCAUUGUUAUUUUGGGCUUAAUUACUAUAUGUAUUAUUAUGUUAAAAUUGUUUGUUUUUCUAAUUUUUUUUUAUACACGUACAUGCAAUUCUUGUUUGGCAGAGUAGGGAGCGUGCAAAAAUAGCCUCGUCAACAAUUUAACAGUUUCGAGAAAGGUAAGAUUUUAGAACUGAUUUCUUAUGUCAGUGAUAUAUAUUUGACAUCAAAACAGCAGGUGAUGGUCAAUGGGGUUUCUUCUAGCUCUCUCUCUUCCUCUCAAUUUCCUUUGCAUUGUGUAUUGUGAGGUGUGGCAGUCUAAUUGACAUGAAGGCCAUGUUUUAGUUACUUGAGGCAUCUUUUAAUGAACUUCAUUCCUUCUGUCUUGUUUUCCGUACAAUAUAACUUAGUAGUGGAAGACUGGAAGCUAUGUUUAGGACUCUGUAUAAAGCUGUUUUCUUUAUUAUGGUAUUUAAGGAUGUUUUUUUUCUCUUUAGUUUGUUCGUAUCAUAUUUUUGUGGUUCUGUAUUUACUGUUAUCUUGGACUAAAAUGGUCUUUUUCAUUCUAGACUUACGUUGUUUAUGAAAAGUUGCAUGAACUAGCAUCCUUGGUGGCGAUUUUAUGUUGUUGUUUUUUUUUUGUUUGUUUGUUUUAUCUGUACUCAUACAUAUCUCAGCUCUAGGGGAAUUGGUACAUUUUAUGGAUUCAUUUAGCAUGCAAGUAUGUUGUAUAAAAACAAUUAGCCAGUGUUUGGAACCAUCAAGGAAAACUCUUAAAUCUCGAUGGAAUAUAAUAGUCUGUGUUUUUUUGUAAAACCUCUCCAAUCUAACCUGACUUAGUAAACCUCUGUUGUGGUAAGUGCUUUUGAUGUGCUCUUAGAAUAUGAAUCGAAAAUUCUUUUUGAUCUGUUGAUGUAUGACAUAAGAAAUCAGUUCAGCAAGUUACAUCCCCUAAACAGGAGAAUGAAAGAAGAGACCGAGGAAAGGAAGAAGCAAAUCAAAGAAAAUGGCGAAUGACAGAUUAAUCAUGUUGUUUGGCUUGUGAGUUGUGAUUCUUUAACUCCAAUAGUAGCAUCCUGGGAUGUUAUUUUUCCAUGAAACAAACUCGGUCUUAGAUUGAUAACAUGUCUGACUGAAUUGUCAUAAGUGAUUGAUUUGCUAACGCAUCUUCUUUUUUUCUUGACAAUUGGAUAUUUUGAAGCUCUCGUAUAAUAUGUUGGGAUAUCCAGAAUUAUGAUGUUUUUUCUCAAUUUAUCUAAUCACAUUGUAUUUGUUUGGUGAAGAGUCACAUUGUAGGUAUGAAAUAGGAUUUUUUUUGAACAAACAGUUUUGGCCUAUAUAUAUGAUGAACAAAUUAUAUAAGUCUGAACAAAUUAUAUAAGUCUAAGAAAGAGAAGAACAUUCCUAUGACGAUACUGUUUAUAUCCAUGAUCUAUAAUCUAUAUAUCUAUAUAAUAGCUAGACCCAUGCGGUUCCACAUUCUCUUUCCUAGGUGGCAUCCUCAAUAAUCUCCAAGGUUUCACAAAUUUUCUCAUUUUUUUUUUAAAAAAAAAUGGUUACUUUAAUAGCUUUAUAGCUAUUUAUUUUUUUUCUCUACUUUUUUAUCCAUUUUUUACAAAACCAAAACCUCUACACUUUUUAUCCACUCUCCCACUAAGCACAAAUCUCUUAAAUCAAAAUAAAAACAUAAAAAAUAGUAAAAACAUAAAUUAAUCAAACAUAAAUACACACGGGUGUCUAACGAAGCUCUUUCUCAUACCCGGUGCGUAGCACGGAGUCCACAACUAGUAGUUUACAAUAGCAAGAAUAAAGAAUGCUCUCAUCACACUUUGUGAUCUAAAAAAAAACUGAAAUGAUAUCCUUUGGUAGCUUCUAUCCAAAGCCAAGGCCUAUGCUUGGCUUACCAACAACAUUUUAACUACUUUAUAACACGCCCCCACUUCAAGGUGGUUUGUGUGACCUUCGUUGGCAACAUAAUGUAUAAACACGUGUACUUAUAACUAUUACUUUAUUAUCAUUAUCAUUCCAAUUUUACCCUUAUACAUUAAGGUGGUUUGUUUCUCUCUUAUCUUCUUCUCUCCCCCAACUCUCUCUAUCUCUGCGUCAACCCCUUGUUGUUUUUCUUCCUCCUCUCUCUUUCUCCUUUCCCAUCUUUUUCUUCUUCACGGUUCUAUAUUAUAAGUCAUUGUCGUUCUUCCUAUCAUUUUGCACGCAUAGGCGUGCACAUUCACAUAAUGUAUAGAAAAGCCAAGUGCACUAACUGUUGUCCAGUCUAUUCCUAAGUUUUUUCCAUCCAAGAUGUAAGAUGGGUGCCUCAUUACUCCGAGUAAUUGUGUAGGGGUACUACAUACUCCAACCAAUCAAAAGCAGCCACGUGGCAUAGUCAUUAAUCCAUCAGGUCGCUACAAUCUCGACCUACUAGCAGCUCGACCACAACAACUCGACUACAUAAUCAGCAGCGGCCUACUCAUACACAUAUGCCCUAAUUCGGCCCAAAAGAUAUUCUCUCCAGCUAUUGUCCGAUCAUUACAGCCGUUACACAAUCACUGGAAGAAUAUUAUAUCACCAUAAAUAUGUCAGAGAAUAUUAUAAAUACGUCGCAGAAUCUACAGGAUCCCAAGAUCUUCGCCUCUUCAUCUUCUAUAUAAACAGAACUACGAUGGCUUGAUAUCUAAGUUCAAUCCCGACGAACUAGAGUACGUAGGCAAUCUCAAUCUCAACGAGGUGCAACCACCCCGAUCUAAAACUUCCCCAUUGGUCAAGUCUAUCAACGACUUGACCUAAUGAAUGUGUUGAUCUAGAAAUAGGUUAAUACAAAUUGAGUAUAGAGUUGUACAUUCUGAUAUGUAUCAUCAUCUGUUAAGAUACAAAUGCAUCCGCAUUGGGCUAGUCGCUACUACAACCCGUCCCCAUCUUCUUGUUUAACAUCUUAAAAUGUCAGUCUACCAACAUAUGGAUCAUAAAUUCUUAGGCGAACUUUGUGAUUUAGUAACAUUUUGCAUAUAUCCAUUGCAUGUGAGUUUGUUAAGUCCGAUAUAUCAUGCUUAGAAGCAAAACCAAAAAUGGCAAUUGUUGUAUUGGUUAUCUCAAGAAGUUUAUGUAGUACCAUUUUGACAAAUCUCUUCCUUGUUGCCUAGUUGUUCUGUAAAAACUUUGUGUAGAGCUGCUUCUCGUCUGUUGAACCAUGAUUAUGUGCUACUUGGCUAAAAAACUGGAUAUCUCUAAUAAGAUUAUGCCCCCAAAGCCAAUUCCAAUAUUUAAAUAUGUUGGCCCAAGACGCUCAUUACGGAGCAUGAUCUCUUUGAUUCUGUUUAUAUUAGCACUUACCCCUGUAGAAAUACUUGCUAUGCUGUUGAAGGUAGAAAUUUUUGAAGCAAGCAAACAUUAAUACCCAGUUUUGCUAGAAUGACAAACUUGGAGUCUGGAAUUCUAAACACUACGUAGUACGUCAUCAUUGACCCAAUUCAACAGUUGCAUAUACUCUUGAAAAUUGUUUCCGCCUAAGACUUAGGUGCUGUUUGUUUUUACCUCUUAUAAGAGGUUGGAUUUACUAGAGCCUCUAUUAAGAGGUGUACCACUAAAGUGAGGUGUUUGUUUUUUGCCUCUUAUAAGAGGCUGAUUUUUGGUAGUGGCAAUGACCUUGCUAUUAGCCUCUUAUAAGAGGUAGACAUUUUCAAAAUACCUAUCUUACCCAUGAUCUUUAUAACUUUUUCCUACCCCUAGUCCUUAAAUAUAAAAUACCUUAAAUCUUUUUUUAAUUUUUUUUUCACAUAUUUUUCUAUCUCUCUUAUAUUUAUGGAAUUUUCUUUUUCUUAAGCUAAAAAAUUAAUUUUUUUUUAUAUUUUUUUAUAUUUAGGGAAUUAAAAAAACAUUUUUAAAAAAAGGAUAUAAUUGUAAAGUUUAUCUCUUAUAAGAGGUUUUAAAAACAAACACCUUACAUCUUAUAAACUCUUGCAAGAGGCAAAAACAAACGAUUUUCAUGUACCUCUUAUAAGAGGCAACCUCUUACAAGACAUACCUCUUAAAAGAGGCAACCUCUUACAAGAGGGACCGCAAAAAAACAACAGCCCCUUAAUCAGUCCCUCCAAAUAUAACUUGGUUGGGGAUAAGUAGAUCCCUAUAAGUUGUUCCCAAUGAGUGGAACUUAGGAUUGAAAACAUAAAUAGGAUCAACAAGCACUCUAUUUUGAUGGAAAAUAUGUGUGAUAGUUUCAUUGGCAUCAAUAGGAACAUUAGAUUUCUCAAAGACUAGCUUCCCUGCUGCAUGAUUAGCAAUUGUUUCUCAGGAUUCUUCCCAUUUGAUAAGAUUUAAUGUGUCUUCCCCAUUAAUUCUUUGGAUCGGACUAUCUAUUGCCAUGACUAUAUAAUCCGCUGCAUUCAAUGCCGCUAGUAUGUUAUGAUCAUACUCAGUCAUCAAUCAGACGUUUCUUACUGGAUGAAUCAUUCCCUCCAUGUCUGGUUCUUCAAUAGGAAUUAAUCUUGCUUGCCACUGGUCAAUGUGCUCACUGAAUACAUCCAACAUGGUAAUGACCACAUUUUCACAAUGGUAAGCCAUAAAGAUCAUGGUGAUGCCUGUAGUGUAGCUAGAUCCCAAGCAUGCAAUACUUAUAACAAGGUCAUAGGGUCCUACUACUCCGGAGUUUUGAUUUUGAUCCAUUGUGUCAUUAGCCGCUCUGAAAAGCUAUAGAAAAGUUUAAACAAACUAGUAUGAAGUUGAAGAAGAUGAUAAAGAAUAGAGAAUGAGAAUUAAGAAUAAGAAGAGAGUGAGGAAAAACAAUGGCUACGUCCAUAUAUAUAUAUUACUACAAUAAUACAAUAAAACUCAUAAUAAUAGAGUAAUUGGGUAUUCCAAAUAUACUACUUUACAACGCGCCCCUACUUCAAAGUGAUUUGCGUGACCUUCGUUGGCAACAUAAUGUAUAAACACGUGUACUUUUAACUAUUACUUUAUUAUCAUUCUAAUUUACCCUUAUACAUUAAGAGUUGUAUACUAAUAAAGAAAAGAUAAUAAAAUAAUUUUUAAAGUGGGAUCUACAAUAUUUUUAAAGUGAGGUCUACAAUAUCUUACAAAGUGCUACUGCUCUGGAAGUAAAAUGUUCUUGCCACCUGACCUUUUAACAAACAAAAAUACUUAAUUACGUAAAACCAAUAUUAUGUGGGUCCAUUAAAUAUCAAAAAUCCCAACUUCUAAAAAUUGUUAAAAUUUGUCAAAAAAUCCAAUACUAAUUUACUAUUGUACUCUUACUUUUUUUAUUAAACUUAAUAAUAAAAUUUGUCUAAAAACCCAAAUUAUUAAUAUAUAUAAUAUAAUAUCUAUUUUACCUUUUAUACAUUUCUUUUUUUAUACUGAAAUUACGAUAAUUUUCAAAGGAAGGGACCCAUAUAUAGAUUUAUAAAAAUCAAAUAAUCUGUCGAUAAAUGAAGAAAAAAUAUUUUACUUUUUACAAUAUGAACAUUUAAAAAGAGGUUUUUUUCCUUCAUUUUGUUCUGUACAUAAUCGACCGACUUUAAGAGGUCCAUUAUACUUUGGGUGGAAUCAUAAUUUGUGUCUAUCCGUCCACUUUGGGUUUUUUUUUUUUUUUUUUUGCCUUCUUUUAUCUUCUCUCCCCCAACUCUCUUUAUCUCUGCGUAAACCCCUCUUUGUUCUUCCUCCUCUCUCUUUCUCCUUCCCCAUCUCUUUCUAACUCACAACCCAAAUUGAUCCCCACUGUUUCAUGGUUUUCUAUUAUAAGUCGUUGUUCUUCCCCUCGUUUCCCACACAUAUGCGUGCACAUUCACAUAAUAGAGUCUUAAUGGAAGUCGAUAAUGGUAAACCUUUGUUAAAUCGUCAUAGGUAUUUCUAAAAUUAACGUUUUGUUGAGUAAUUAGCAAUUCCAAAUAACACUCUUAUUUUUAAUAAUAGAGUAAUUGGGAAUUCUAUAGAAUAUGGGAUUACUUUUUUCCUAGUUUCUAAUUUGGUUUAAAACCUAUUAGCUGUCAACAAACAUAUUCGACUUCCAAUGAAACUAUCACACUGUAUUAAUUAAUAAAAAUAAAAAUAAAGAUAAUGCUAUGUUAUUUUAACUUUGGAAAAAUAAUAAUAAUACUUUAAUUAAUGAUUGUGUUUGUAAGUGACCCAAAUGAUUUAUGUACAAUGUAACUUGUUGGUCGACUUUUUAAAGGAAGCAAUGAAAUAUUUAUAUCUUAUAAAAAAAAAAAAAAAACUCCAUCUUGAUAUUAUCAUAUAGACGAUUGAUACAAAUCAAAAUAUAUUUUGUUAAUACGAAAUAAGAGCAAUAAAAAAAAUUAUAGAGUAAUUGGGAAUUCUAUAGAAUAUGGGAUUACUUUUUUCCUAGUUUCUAAUUUGGAAGUUAAUGCCAUAUUGAAUUGAUUAUUGAUGUGAUCUUAAGCAAUGAGAAAGGGGUUUAUAUAAGUUUUCUUUGUUUGUUUGCAAAGAGCAAGUUAUGUUCAAGAUGCGGUAUGGGUCGUCACACACUUGACGGCUGCGUUUUGGUCUGAUGAGAUAAGAGUGGAUAAGGUCAAUAAAUCAAUUUUGCAUACAAAGAAGGGAAAAUGUGGGAGACUGAACUCAGUCAUAAACAUAAGCCUUUGUAUUAAUAUGCCCAACUACAUUCACAACACAAUGCCUGCUCACAAUGUAUGUAUCUUUUAUUCCCUGAAACCUUUUCAUGUAUCUCUUCAUUCCAUUUCUUCCCUAUUGUACCCAGCUUCUUAAGAUUCCACGCUUUAUCACCUCGUCUAUGAUAAAACUGUCCGAGGACUUCAGCAUCAACAAAAAGGCAGUGCUCGAGAUCUAGUAUUCUAAGCUUAGCAUGACCAUCAAAUAUCAAGAGCGCAUCCAGUGUUAAAGAAGACUUUUUUAGUGACAAACUCUCGAGUUCACGAAGAUGUCUUACAAUGAAAGAUGCUGUUUCUGAUCCAAUAAUCCCACAUAGGCCAAGAUGCUGGAGAUUCUUGCAGUAAUGUCCGAGACAACUAAUUAAGCCAGAGCUUCCCACAUAUGACAAGACUGCAGGAUCUGCAGCUUCCUGUUGGGGUAAAACUAAGGACAAUUGGGAGACUGAUUGACCUCUUGGUAGAGCUCUACAGGCUAAAAUCCAUCACUAUGGGCUAAGUUGUAGUAUAUUGAGAAGGGUGGGUUAGUUUGAAACUUUGAAUCAUGUGUUGGAUUUUUUGGACGGAGGGAACUUUUUUGUUCAGGAACGUACGUACGCAGUUAGGACGUUCGUACGUUCCAUUCGACAGAUGACUUUAAGGGGAAGGAACGUACGUACGUAGUUAGGGCGUACGUACGUCCUGGAUCACAGAUGACUUCCCCGUGUGGCUCGACGUACGAACGUCAAUUCAACGUACGUACGUCCUCUCUUGGUUUUGUGUAUAUGGGCCGGUUUAAGCCCAUUUCGUGUGUGUUUGUAUGGCUAUGUUAUAAAGCCAAUUGAGAAGGUUGGAAAACCUAAUCUUCAUGUGAGAGAGAGAUUGUGAGAAGCCAUUGGUGAGUUUGAGAGAACUCUUGUGAGGAAGAACACUUUGGUUUCUUCGUGAGGGCUUGUAUAAUCGUCUCUAUUUGGAAGAUUGUUGUUUUGGUCGUGGACGUAGGCAAUAUUAGCCGAACCACGUAAAUCUUGUGUUUUGUGUUUGUUUUGUUUUGCUUUGUUUGAUUCACACACUAUUUCAAUUUUGGAUAUUGGUGCAUAAGCUUCCGCUGCGCACAACAUCAUGAUGUACAUAACAUCUCAUACGAAAUAUGUAUAAAUCAGUAAUCACACAAAGCAGGAAGAAGAAGGUUAGGCUAUUAAAAAAAAAAAAAAAAAAGAGAGAGAGAAGAGAAACCUGACGUUUUUUAUUCCACUUCUUCUUGUUAGUAUUACUUACUGGAUUACAACUUAUCUGAAAUCCAUAAUUCUUCUAGCAACUUAGCAUGUUAGCAAGCACAAUGGCUGAAUUUAGCUUAAAAGGGAGUUAUUAAUGGUAUUAGGUUAAACAAUGGUAUUAGGUUAAUUAAGGUCGGAUCGGUCCAAUUUGUAUUACAAAGCCCACAAUGAAUAAAUGUUUAUGUAAGCCCAUUGGUUCUUUAGUAAUGCCCAGCCCAUUUUGAAAGCUAGUGUGAAGAAGAACGUCGCAGUCCGAUAAGUUGGAAUGAAAAAAAGUUAUUUCAUUUUGUUGGUCGUUUUUUUGCUGAAGCUCAAUUUGUAGGUCAUCUUUGAUCGCGUUUUUUAAACUAGGUUGCCAUUAAAAAAAUCUUGGUAUCAUAUUAAGUUUUAUUAUUGUGAAAAAUCAGUUCAAACGAAAAACUAUCCAUUUUGCCCAACACAAAUAAUAUAAGUAAACUACUUAAUUAAUAAACCAACUCACAAAUAAAUAGUAUGCCAUGCCACUAUAUUUUGCAAUGACAAUGGCAGGGGAGCAUAUCAGCAGUCAAGUUGUUCCAUAGGAUCAUGGGUUGGCAAUGGCAGGGGAGCAUAUCAGCAUUCAGUUUAUUAGUAUAUAUAUAUCUUAUUCUCAAAUUAUGAAGUGUGGUUUGUUAGCAUUUCAAAACAAUAAAAAAACUAGGUCUCCAUUGUAGAGAUAUUGGUAUGAAGAUCAACAUUAUUCAUCAAUAUCUGAAUUAUUUUCUUAUUAUUACACUGUAAUACCAGUUCAAACUAAUAAAUAAUACAUCCAAGCAACUAUCAACAUUAUUCAUCAAUGUAUUUAGUUUGCUACAAAUCAAACAAGUACUACUUCUUGCAUGGAGGCAAAGGAAAACCACAGAGACGAUCAUUUCCUAUAAAUGAUUCAACUGGGAACUUUGUUGUUGGAAUUGGACCACUUAGUCGAUUGUACGACAGGUCAAGCUCGUCAAGCGUUUGGAAAUUCCUGAGGUAAUCAGGGAUUCUGCCAGUUAAAGCAUUAUGGCUAGCUCUGAAAAAUUGAAGUUCUGGUGCCAAGAAUGAAAAUGAAGGUGGAAUCCCACCAGAGAGUUUGUUGUAGGAAAUAUCAAAAUCUCUAAGAACAAGUGACUUGAAAAAAUUUGGAAUCCCACCGGAAAGUUGAUUGUUCUGAAGUCUCAAGUAUGUCAUAUUUCUAAAUUGCCGGAAACUAUAAGGAAUCCCACCAGAAAAUUUGUUGUCAUUGAGAUAAAGGCCAAGUAAGUGAGUGAAUUGAGAAAUAGAGUUUGGAAUUGAACCUGUGAAUUGGUUUCCAUCUAGUUCCAAAGAUUGAAACCGAUCAGAUUUUGGGCUUAUAUCAAUACGAAGUGGACCAGAAAGUUUGUUGUUUCUUAUAGUAAGAAACUGUAGCCUUGGAAGAUUAAAUAUAUCUUUGGGUAGAGUGCCAGUAAUGUUUGUAUUUUCAAUGAAUAUACGGCUUAACUGCCGAGCUUUAAUGAAUAAUGAAGGGGAAAUUGUGCCUGUUAAGAAGCUGUUCGGAUUAGUAGUAUCUCCAGAAAGGAAUAAAUCAGUGACUCGGUCGUUAGAAAUGCAGGUUAAGCCGGACCAACUGCAACAAUCUGUACCGGGUAUCCAUGAGCUAAGCAUUCCGGAUGGAUCUCGAGUGAUUCCUGAUUUGAAAGCUAGUAGACCAGCUUCAUCAUCCACAUGGCAUUUUGCAAAGCAAAGUGGAGAUAAAACUGUGAGCAAGAGAACAAGUAGUAGAGCAAGAUGAUGAGGAGUAGAAGUGAAAGCUAAUGCCAUAAUGAAAUGAAAUGAUAUAUUAAGUUGUGAGAAGAGUUUGUUUAUAUAAGGUUUUUUCCUGUUUCCAGAAGAGUUAAAUCGUCUUAGGUGGACAUCGACACGUACAGGACUUAUCUAAUCUGCCCUUUAAUAAGAAUAAGAAACUUUAUUUGCUGGUUUGUGAUUUUUACGAGUCAAGUUAGAUGGCUUCUUUUUGUGGAGACUGGAGACUGGAGACUGGAGAAGAUUGCAAAUGAAAUAAAGGAAAUAGUACACCAAGACAGCCUGGUGUUAUGUAUGUUGUAUUGUUGUUGCCGCGUAUAGGUGCAUAAAUGCCAUGACCAUGGGUUGAUGGGAAUAACUGGAUAAGGAUAUAAGCUAGCCUGCAGCUAGCUAGGUGUGAGUAGGAAAAUUUGCUUGAUCAACUGAUCAACAUAGUAUUUCAGUUUUCAGGAGAUCGAAGGAUAGGGAAGAGAAGAGAAGGUGAGAAUGAGACAGAGUGAUUACGACAGAGGAAGGAGAAGUUCAAAGAGAAAAUGUAGGGCUUCAGUACUUCAGUAAACUUACCAAAUUUUCUUAACCAUAGACCAAGUGAUCUGGUUCAUAUUAGGUCAAAGUCAAAGUCAAUGUCAAAUCCAAAGUCAAAGUCAAAUGUCAAACUAUGCAACCAACAUACAAACCUUCUGCUCUUCUUGCUCUCAUCAUUUGCUGCUCUUCUUGAUCCCCAACACAUUACCUUCUUCUCAACUAAAACGCCAAGUUUAAUUUUGUCAAAGCUGCUAUUUUUUAUUCCUUCAAACAAUCAAUAUAUUCAGAUAAGUUUUCUUUACAUUUUUAUUUUGCAUAUAUUUAAUAAAUAGAAAAUUUUAUAUACCUUGAUUUGAAUGUGUAAUUUGUUGUUAACAACUUAAUAGUUAAUACUAACUAAUAAAAUAAUUUUCAAUUCCUUAUUAAAUCUAUAAAUUGAUUUGUCAACUUUGAAUCAAGCAAAAAUUGAUAGAUUUGAAUUUUAAUCUGGUCAUGUAACUACAUAUUCAAAUCAAUAACCUUUAAUUUGCAUUGUUAUUUGGGUUUAUUUUGGGCUUAAUUACUAUAUGUAUUAUUAUGUUAAAAUUGUUUGUUUUUCUAAUUUUUUAUACACAUACAUGCAAUUCUUGUUUGGCAGAGUAGGGAGUGUGCAAAAAUAGCCUUGUCAACAAUUUAACACAGUUUCGAGAGAAAGGUAAGAUUUUAACCCUUUUUCUUAUUUUUCGUCCCUCGGCAUUGCAGUAUUAACUUAGAACUGGAAAACUUCAUCAAUGAGCUGGAAAGGUCGCCUCACCCUACUUCCCAACAUGGGUUUUUUUAUAGGACAGUAAAGAUGGCCAGCCCGGAAUUUUCCAUUGCUGUAACUCUGUAAGUAGGUAGACUAUGGUAACAGAAAGUGAUAAGAACUUCAACUUUUAGACACCGUACGUAGACGUGAGUUGUUGGAACUUGGCACCGUUUUACUUAAUUAUCCUCUAGUCCAAGGGUUAACCUUCAUCCAUUAGAUACUUAGAUAGUGAUGGUGCAUUAAAUAUCAAGACUGAUGGUGUUUCAUCUUCAAUUUCUUACUUACAUUGCAUAUCUUAACAAUUUCACUGAUGGGGCAUUAAAAAUCAUGACUGUCAACUAUGAAAAAAUAACGAGGCCUAUGAUGCUAAUAAAGAAUUAUGUUUCCAAAGAAAACAUAAGGUAGUCUUACUUACAUUUUGGCCAGACUUUGAUGGUUAGACGACUGUUGGUGAUUUGGUAUAAUCUUUAUAUGACAAGUGUAUCUGAUGUCGUGUAUCAGUGAUAGAUAUUUGACAUCAAAACAGCAGGUUUUGGUCAAUGGGGUUUCUUCUAGCUCUCUCGCUUCCUCUCAAUUUCCUUUGCAGUGUGUAUUGUGAGAGGUAGCAGGGUCUCAAUUUCCUUUGCAGUGUGUAUUGUGAGACGUGGCAGAGUCUAAUUGACAUGAUGGCCAUGUUUUAGUUACUUGAGGUAUCUUUUAAUGAACUUCAUUCCUUCUGUCUUGCUUUCCAUACAAUAUAACUUAGCAGUGGAAGCUAUGUUUAUGACUCUGUGUAAAGCUGUUUUCUUCAAUAUGGUAUUUAAGGUUAUGUUUUCUCUGUUGUUUGUUCUUAUCAUUUUUUUGUGGUACUGUAUUUACUGUUAUCUUGGACUAAAAUGGUCAUUUUCAUUCUAGACUUACGUUGUUUGUGAGAAGCUGCAUUAACUAGUUACCAUCCUCGGUGUCGAUUUUAUGUUUGUUUUUUUUCUGUACUCAAACAUAACAGCUCUAGGGGAAUUGGUACAUUUUAUGGAUUCAAUUUAGCAUGCAAGUAUGUUGUAGAAAAACAAUUAGCCGGUGUUUGGAAGCAUCAAGGAAAACUCUUAAAUCUCGAUGGAAUAUAAUAGUCGGUGUUUGUUUGUAAAACCUCCCAAAUCUAACCUGACUUAGUAAACCUCUGUAGUGGUAAGAGCUUUUGAUGUGAUCUUAGAAUAUGAAUCAAAAAUUCUUUUUCAUCUAUUAAUGUAUGUAAUAAGAAAUCAGGUCAGCAAGUUAUAUCCUCUAAAUUGGAGAAUGAAAGAAGAGGCCGAGGCAAGGAAGAAGCAAAUCAAAGAAAAUGGCGAAUGACAGAUUAAUCAUGUUGUCUGGCUUGUGAGUUGUGAUUCUCUAACUCCAAAAGCAGCAUCCUGGGAUGCUAUUUAUCCAUGAAACAAACCUGUCUGACUGAAUUCUCAUUAAGUCAUUGAUUGGCUCAUCUGUUUUUUUUUCUUGGUAAUUGGAAGUUUUGAAGCUCUCAUAUAAUAUGUUGGGAUCUCCAGAAUUAUGGUUUUUUUUCUUAAUUUAUUUAAUCACAUUGUAUUUUUUUUUUUUUUUUUUGUGAAGAGACAUUGUAGGUAUGGGGUUUCAUGAUAAAUAGGAUCUUUUUUGGACAACAGUUUUGGCCUAUAUAUAUAUGAUGAACAAUUAUAUAAGUCUAAAAAAGAGAAGAACAUUCUACGACGUUACUGUUUAUAAUCCAUGAUCAAUAAUAGUUUACAAUAACAAGAAUAGAGAAUGGUAUCUAGCAUUUCAUCAAAAAAAAAAAACAAGAAUAAAGAAUAAAGAAUGCUCUCAUCACACUUUGUGAUCUGAAAAAAACUGAAAUGAUAUCCUUUGGUAGCUUCUAUCCAAAACCACGGCCUAUGCUUGGCUUACCAACAGCAUGGAUUGAAAAACCAAGUCCACUAACUGGUGUCCAGUUCCAGUCUGUUCUCAAAUUUUUUGUUCCAUCGAAGAUGUAAGAUGGAUGCCUCAUUACUCCGAAUAAUUGAGUAUAGAGUUGUACAUAAUUCCCAGCAUUCUGAUAUGUAUCAUCAUCUGUUAAGAUACAAAUGGCUGAUGCAUUUGUUGCAGCUCUCACUGGGCUAGUCCUGACUACAACUCGUCCCCCUCUUCUUCUUAAACAUCUUAAAAUAUGAGCUCUGCCAACAUAUGGAUCGUGAAUUCUUAGGAGAACUUUGUGGUUUAGUAACAUUUUGCAAAUAUCCAAGGCAGGUGAGUUCGUCAAGUCUGAUAUAUCAUGUUUAGAAGCUAAACCAAAAAUGGCAACUGUUUUAUUGGUCAUCCCAAUAAGUUUAUCUAGUACCAUUUUAACAAAUCUCUUCCUUGUUGCCUGGUUGUUCUGUAAAACCUUGGCAUAGAGCUGCUUCUCGUCUGUCAAACCAUGAUUAUGUGCUACUUGGCUAAGAAACUGGGUAUCUCUAAUAAGAUUAGGCCCCCCAAAGCCAAUUCCAGCACUUAAAUACGUUGGCCCAAGUCGCUUAUCACGGAGCAUAAUCUCUUUGAUUCUGUUUAUAUUAGCACUUACCCCUGCAGAAAUACUUGCUAUGCUGUUGAGGGUAGAAAUUUUUGAAGCAAGCAAUACAUUGAUACCCAGUUUUGCUAGAAUGACAGACUUGGGGUCUGGAAUUCUAAACACUACGUCAUCGUCAACCCAAUCCAUCAGUUCCCUAAACCCCUGUAAUUGAUUUCCGUUUAAGACUUGAGCAGUCCCUCCAAAUAGGACUUGGCUGGGGACAAGUAGAUCUGUAUAAGCUGUUCCCAAUGAGUAGAACUCAGGAUUGUAAACAACAAUAGGAUCAGCAACCACUCCAUUUUGACGGAAAAUGCGUGUAAUAGUUUCAUUGGCAUCAAUAGGAACAUUAGAUUUCUCAAUGACUAGCUUCCCUGCUGCAUGAUUAGCAACUGCUUCCCAGGAUUUUUCCCAUUUGGUAAGAUUUAAUGUGUCUUCCCCAUUAAUUUUUUGGAUUGGACUAUCUAUUGCCAUGACUAUAUAAUCCGCUGCAUUCAAUGUUGCUGGUAUGUUAUGAUCAUUCCCAAUCAUCAAUUGGACGUUUCUUACUGGAUGAAACAUUGCCUCCAUGUCUGGUUCUUCAAAAGGAAUUAAUCCUGCUUGCCACUGGUCAAUGUGCUCAUUGAAUACAUCCAACAUAGUAAUGACCACAUUUUCACAAUGGUAAGCCAUAAAGAUCAUGGUGAUGCCUGCAGUGUAGCUAGAUCCCAAGCAUGCAAUAUUUAUAACACCGUCAUGGGGUCCUACUGGUCCGGCGUUUUGAUUUUGAUCCAUUGUGUUAUCAGCAGCUCUGAAAAGCUAUAGAAAAGCUUAGAAAAACUAAUAUGAAGUUGAAGAAGAUAAAGAAUAGAGAAUGAGAAUUAAGAACUAAGAAUUAAGAAUAAGAAAGAGUGAGGAAAAACAAUGGCUACGUCCACAUAUAUAUACUGUAUAUUACUACAACAAUACAAUAUAAGGUAAUGGUAAACCUUUGUUAAAUCGUCAUAGGUAUUUCUAAAAUUAACAUUUUGUUGAGUAAUUGGCAAUUCCAAAUAAGACUCUUAUUUCUAAUAAGGGCGAGUAAUUCGGAAUUCUACAGAAUAUAGGAUGGAUUACUUUUUUCCUAGUUACUAAUUUGGUCUAAAACCUAUUGGCUGUCAACAAACAUAUCCGUCACACGUAUUAAUUAAUAAAAGUAAAAAUAAAGAUAAUGCUAUGUUAUUUUAAUUUUGGAAAAAUAAUAAUAAUAAUAAUAAUAUUUUAAUUAAUAAUUAAUUUUGGCUGCUGCUAUUGCCAAGGAUACUUUUUAUAUUGCCAAGUGUUAUUUUUAUAAUUACAAAACUAUCCGUAUCUCACCCAAAGAAGAAAAAAGAAACGGGCAGUUUUAUCAUUUUAGAGGCUAACUCUUGGCAAUAUAAAACAAAUUCUUGGCAAUAGCAGGAGACUUAUGUUUUUUCAGUAAAAUCAAUUAAUAAUUUUGCAUGUACACAAAAACACUAUUUCAAUUUAAUCAACAAACCCUCUUCUUUCUUUCACUCAAAUUUAUACCAACACUUUAAUGUGAGGACCCUAAUUUAAGGUAAGAUGUCCUUUUAACAUUUUAUAAUAUUUGAUCAAACCUGAUCAGGUAGAACGAAAAUGAUGAUUAGACCAAAAAAAAAAAAAAAAUCAAGUGGGGAAGAGUGACCAAGAAACAAUACUUCAUAAAAUGGGAAUUCAAGCAAGACCAUGAAUAGCUACGUUAAUGGGAAUUCAAGCAAGACCAUGAAUAGCUACUAACAUAAUAGAGCAAUAUUGGGCAUCACCUCUAGCAGGGUACACCGAGUAACGUAGGAUUGACGAAAGGUAAUCCUAGAUUCCUAUUGGUAGAAGAGGAUUCUCGCGACGUAGUGUGACACUGUGGUGUAGUACAAAGCUUCCAAGGAGGAAACAUGCUUUGGACUAAGAAAAAAGUGGACUACUCAGCUGAAAAACGAGUUAGCUUAAAGAUCAAGUUAGGCUAAAGCAGGACAAAUCAGUGAAGUCAGUACAUUUGUUAGCUUACAGUACUCAAGUAUGUUUGUAAGUGCUCAGGGCACUUGUAUAGCUCAGGCUCUGUCUGAGGCUCUGAGCUAUAGUGCUCCUAUAAACUUCAAAAAAAUUACUAGUAGUUAACAUUAAUUGCAAUAACAUCAUUGUUUGACAUGGCCCAAACAAACACUCACUUAUGUCCUUUAAACUUGAAUUGAGCAAAUUUCUUUUCCUUUUCUUUUCUUCACAUUCAUAAACAAUAUAUCCCCUUAUGAACAAAAUAAGCCUUUGUAUUAAUAUGCCCAACUACAUUCAAGACACAACGCCUCCUCACAAUGUAUGUAUCUUUUAUUACCUGAAACCUUUUCGUGUAUCUCUUCAUUCCAUUUCUUCGCUUUUGUACCCGGCUUCUUAAGAAGCCACGCUUUUACACCUGCUCUACGAUAAAACAGUUUGAGGACUUCAGCAUCAACAAAAAGGCAGUGCUCGAGAUCUAGUAUCCUAAGCUUAGCAUGACCAUCAAAUAUCAAGAGCGCAUCCAGUGUUAAAGAAGAUUUUUUUAGAGACAAACUCUCAAGUUCAAGAAGAUGUUUUACAAUGAAAGAUGCUGUUUCUGAUCCAAUAAUCCCACAUAGGCCAAGAUGCUGGAGAUUCUUGCAGUAAUUUCCAAGACAACUAAUUAAGUCAGAGCUUCCCCGCAACAUAAAGAUUGGACAAGAGUAUUCUUUAAGAUUCUUCCAGUACGGGAAUGCCAUGUGGUAAGGAUCAAGUCGAAGUAUGUUCAUAUGUAGAAACUUCAAACAAGGAGACCUAGGAUGUGCAUCCAUAUAAAUUAAUUCAUCAGAACAUUUGUCAAACUACAAAAUAUGAGUAAUUUAAGACAGAUAUAGUAGCAAAAGAAAAGCAGUUACGGUCCUCAGACAAUAGAGAUUGAUAUAACGAUUGUUGAAGCCUGAGAAUUGAAGCAUCAGAUUUCCAAUGCUCAACCAUUUUGAUUGACAUAAACAAAUGAAUAAUCAAAUUAAAGUUCUAAAUAUUGAGGCCCUUAAUUUUGAGAAUGAUGAAUAAAAAGUUGUAUAUCUGCCUUUUUUCCAAUACCAAGCUGGGGUUAGGCAAACCCCUACUAGUUUCUAUUGAUUACGAAUAAAAAGGUACUCAAAUACCUAAUUCCAGUGGCAUUAAUGGUAACACUGGUUUAAAUCUCACAGAGGACUUCAUAUCUCCACGCACAUUACUAGUGGCCAAGCUAUUGAUUACGAAUAAAAAGAUAACUUAGGACUUAUACCAUUAAUUGUUGUCACCAAUCAUAGCCAUCGGUCAUCACAUAGAAAACGAGUGUGUCCUGUACCCAAAUUGGUUCAAUCGCAUUAGAGUUAUAUGAGUCAUCUACAAGAGGUGCAAUCCUCCAACCGGCAGACAUGUCAAAACUUGGAGGGAUUUCCCAGUGUGAGAUAAGAUACUCCAGAUAUUGGCAGACACGUCGAUUUGGAGGUACACCUUUGGCAUGUGAGAAUGUUUUAUCAUGGGAAGUAUCCACUGAAGAGACUGGUAUGGUAGACGAGAAAAUCCAAUUCAAGGACAGCUUAUGUACUGUAUUUAUUUAAUACGUGACUCAGUCUAUACCGAUUCGUUUUAUGUCUUUAUUUUGUUAUGGUUACUUUAUAGUUGUUCAUUUCUCUAUAGUACACAUAUUUUUGGGAUUUCAAUCCAUUUUCAACAAAAACUAUCCAUUUUGCCCAACACAAAUAAUAUAAGUAAACUACUUAAUUAAUAAACCAACUCAAAGAGUAAAGAAUGAUUAUCAUAGAUAUAAGAAAGAACCUACAGAUUAAUUGAACAAUUGGAUAUACCUUUGAGCAAUGUACAAGAUGGCAUGUUCCUUGAGCCAAACGGUAUGAGGGGGAACAAAUGUGUGCCACUGAGCUUUGGGGCGGGUAUCCAGCAAAAUUUUAAGAAACCUCAUGUAUUCCUUUCGUAAACAUUCAGGAUAAGUGUCCACUUUGGUCAAAUCAAGCAAUCCAGUGGAAGGAAAUAGAACAUCAAGAACAGCUGAACACCAUGAUUUACACACGCGAGAAAUAGAGUAGAACAUCCACACCAGGGGAAGUCGAAGGAAGAUCUCAACCAAAACAUCAGGAGGUAUUUCAUCCCAUCUUCUUUUGUUUAUUUUCCUUCUUUUUUCUCCCAUUGUUACUGCUAUACUAAAUGAAAAGUAACUAGAUUAGCAAAAUAUAGUGGACCGGGAAAUAGCUGUAAAGUUAGAAAAACAAAUUAACAAAACAAACACAAAUGAAAGGAACCAUUAAUGAUGCUGACAUUGUUGUGCAAGAAGCUUUGGCAAUCAAUGCCAGACUUGCAGCAUUGGAAGUGAACAUGCAAUCUGUGCUAAAGAGAAAAGAUGGUAAGAAGUCCCCCACUAGCAAGGUGAAGAAGAAACAGUCUGACUGUGAGCCUAGUGCUCUUAAGACUAGCUCAGAAUAGUUUUCUUGUAUGCUCUGGUUUUUGGUGAGGGGUAGAUUUAUUACCUCCCAACCCUUUGUUUUGUACUCAAUUCCCCUUUCAAUUUAAUAUAACUUACUUAGCAAAAAGAAAAAGAGCAAAGAUUAAACAUGCCAAAAGCAAUAUUUUAACAUACCAGAAAAAGAGAGAACUUUAAGCAUUCACCCUAACAAUGAGGGGGAAAAAUAAAAAAACCCUACAAAUUAAAUAUUUAAAUGUUGAUGCAAAAUUUUAAAUGUCCUAAUGAACGUAUUUGUGCGCUAAUAGUUGGGAUCAGAAUCUGGAAGGUCUGAGCUGGAGGGAGUUCUGAAGAAGUGGCCACAACUGAACAGCAGCAGGUUAGGGAUGGCAGCCUGGCAGAUUCUCCCUUAUGCUGUGAUAUGGUGUACUUGGAAGGCGAGAAAUCACUCAUCUUCAGAGGACAGGGCACCAACUUGAACAACCUGAUUAAAAGCAUCAAGCUGACAACAUGGGCAUGGAUUGAAGUGGCUAAGGAUGGAACAGAGCUGAAGCGUGGGCACUCAGUUAAAGAGCUCUUGCUGGACUGGGCAAACUCCAUCACAGGGGACUGAGAAGGUGUUACAAGAAGGUAAGAAAAGCAGUACAAGCAGCUUGCAGGGAGCCAGAGCUGUGCAUUGGGUUUUUGUCUAUCUGACAACUAUGUUUUUUCUGUGCACAAUCAAAUGUAUAGUCAGGGACUGGGAGUAGGAUUAUUGUUUUACAUGGAAAUGUACUGGGGUAUGUAACUGGCAAUGCUAAUUUGCAAGCUGACCAAUAUGACAGCAAAUUGGUUUGAGAAGCAACUGGAUUUGGAUAAAUUGUUUUGUAAAGUUUCAGACAGAUUAGUGCUAUAUAUACAUGCAAUGACUAUUGGAAAAACAAUUGAAAAGGCCAAACAUAACAACUCCAAAUCAAAACCACAUAUAUGAUAUAUCUCUUCUGUUUUCGCGGAAGAAUGGAAAGGAGUGCAAGUGCACAGUUUGGCUACUGUUGUCGCUGAUGUACCAAUAUACCAUCAGCGAAGAUACACCAGAUGUGGAAUGACACUGGACACUGGAGUCUUGCCAAUCUGGUUAGUUGAAGUGUUGCAUUGAAUUGCCUAUUGACAGGGUUUUUUGGUAAUAUACCAUGUUGGUGACUAGGUGGUAGUGGUCGGGGAGGGGUGACCAUCUUUGGGAUUUUAGUUCAUACUAAUACAGAUACUAUUCUCUGGUUCUAGUCGACAGAAAGUUCAAAAUCACCACAUAUGACAAGACGACUGCAGGGUCUGCAGCUUCCUGAUUGACCUCUUGGUAGAGCUCUACAGGCUAAAAUCCAUCACUAUAGGCGAAGUUGUAGUAUAUUGAGAAGGGUGAGUUAGUUUGAAACUUUGAAUCAUGGUGUAAAAAUAUUUCAGCAUUACAUAACAUCUCAUACGAAAUAUGUAUAAAUCAGUAAUCACAUCUACUUGCACAAAAUCAGGAAGAAGAAGGUUAGGCUAUUAAAAAAAAAAAAAAAAAAGAGAGAGAAGAGAAACCUGACGAUUUUUAUUCCACUUCUUGUUAGUAUUACUUACUGGAUUACAACUGAUCUGAAAUCCAUAAUUCUUCUAGCAACUUAGCAUGUUAGCAAGCACAAUGGCUGAAUUUAGUUUAAAAGGGAGUUAUUAAUGGUAUUAGGUUAAACAAUAGUAUUAGGUUAAAUAAUGUCGGAUCGGUCCAAUUUGUAUUACAAAGCCCACAAUGAAUAAAUGUUUAUUUAAGCCCAUUGGUUCUUUAGUAAUGCCCAGCCCAUUUUGAAAGAUAGUGGGAAGAAGAACGUCACAGUUCCGAUAAGUUAGAAUGAAAAAAAGUUAUUUCAUUUUGUUGGUCGUUUUUUUGCUAAAGCUCAAUUUGUAGGUCAUCUUUGAUCGCGUUUUUUAAACUAGGUUGCCAUUAAAAAAAUCUUGGUAUCAUAUUAAGUUUUAUUAUUGUGAAAAAUCAGUUCAAACUAUCAAAACCAAUAUUAAAAAAUAAAAAUAUCACAUUUUACGUAUAAAUAUUGUGCAUGUUACAAAAUAAAACUAAUUCUUGCAAGGAGGCAAAGGAGAACCACAAAGACAAUCAUUUCCUAGAAACGCCUUAACUGCGAAUUUCGUCGCUGGAAUUGGACCACAUAGAUGAUUAUGACUUAAGUCUACCUUCUCCAACCUUGAAAUGUUUUGCGGCACUUUUCCAAAUAUUUGAUUUCGAGCUAAAACCAAUGUCUUUAGGCCAUUGGGUAAUCUCAAAUCUGACAAAUUAAACCGUAACUGAUUACCUGAUGCCCAGAAUCCUUUCAACAAUGUAGUCUCAUUCAUCAACCCAACUGGAGUACCCGAAAUUUGGUUAUCGGAUAAAUCUAUGUAAUCAUAGAAAUAUUUUUCUCUUGGCUUAAAAUCCUCCAACCGAAAUUUUAACCCGCAUCCAGCAAGCUUGAGUGAGUAAAUGAGAGCUGAGGAUUCAACCCAUUUUGGAAUUGUACCUAAAUUGAAUUUGUUGUAAGAAAGAUCGAGCCCUUCGAUCUUUUUUACAUUCAUUUCAGGGAAUGGAUCCACCAAAUGGUUAUGUCCAAGUUCCAGAUAUAAAAUGUCUGUGAGAUUUUUGAAAGUGGUUGGCACAACACCUGUCAAUUGAUUGGAUGAUAGAUCAAGCCUGUCGAGUGUUUGGAAAUUACCAAGGUAGUUUGGUAUAUUACCUGCUAGUAAGUUAUGGCCAAGGUUAAGAAGUUCGAGUCUUGGUGCCAAAAAUGAAAUGGUAGGGGGAAUCUCACCAGAGAGCUUGUUGUGAGAGAGAUCUAAUUCUCGGAGGGAAGUGAAUGAUGUAAAGAAAUUUGGAAUUUUACCAGAAAGUUGAUUCUUCUCGAGAUUUAGAAAAACCAAGUUCUUCAUUUGUUGAAUUCCAGAUGGAAUAGGACCAGAAAAUAAGUUACUACCAAGAUCAAGGUCACGUAAAUGGACAAGUUGAGAAAUAGAACUAGGAAUUGAACCAGUGAAUCGGUUUUCAGAUAGACUUAAACCGACAAAUUGUUGUGGAUGAAGUUUUUGGCCUAUAUCCAAAGGAAGUGGACCAGAAAGUUUAUUGUUAUCAAGGUAAAGCUGGUUUAAAUCUGGAAGAUUGAAAAUGAAUGUUGGGAAUGUACCGGUUAAAUUUCGAAGAUGUUGAAGAUAAAGACCUUGUAAAUACCGGAGUUUUGAUAGAGAAGGUGAUAUUGUACCUGUUACAAAAAAGUUUGGAUCACUUUCACCAAACAAUGACAAGCUUGAAACACGCUUGUUGCUAUCAAGGCACUCAAUGCCAGACCAUGUGCAACAAUCUGUAGCAGGUAUCCAUGAACUAAGCAUGCCAGUUGGGUCUUGAGUAAUGCCUGAUUUGAAAGCUAGUAAGGCAGUUUCAUCAUCAACGUGACAUUUUGCAAAGCAUGUAUAUGCAGAGAUUGAAAAGCAGAGAAAUGCUAGAGCAAGAAGAGAAGAAGUACUGGAAGUGAAUGCCAUAUUGAAUUGAUGUGAUCUUUAAGCAAUGAGAAAGGGGGUUUAUAUAAGUUUUCUUUCUUGGUUGCAAAGAGCACGUUAUGUUGAAGAUGCGAUAUGGGUCGUCAAGUGUGACGGCUGCGUUUUGGUCUGAUGAGAUAAGAGUGGAUAAGGUCAAUAAAAUCAAUUUUGCAUACAAAGAAGGGAAAUGCUAUACUACUGUAGCAAAGAAUAUAUAACUUUAUGGGAAAAUGUGGGAGACUGAACUCAGUCAUAAACCAGCAGCUACUACGCAACUUGGAGGCACUGGGUUUCGGAUUUGAUAAAGAUGAAUUCUUCAUACCUCAUGCUUUAUUGAUUAUAUUUCUAAUAAAACUUGGGAAUGCAAAUGAAAUGAAUUAAAUAGAUGUGCAUGUUACAUGUUGGGUUAAAUUUAUUCAAAGAAAGGUCAUCAAUGGCUCACUGCCAGUGAGUGGAUUGAGAUAAUGUUGGUAGGACAAGUUGUCUGCAGUUUUAUGUGUUUUGGAUAAUAUUACUGCUAUAUGUUGAUUGGAGAUGUUGGCAUGGUUUAAACUUUAAAAGUAACAACUAGCUUGUAGUUUCAGAUUAACUUUGAGCACACCUGAACGGCUGAACGGGCUGAACAUAUGAACUGUACUGUAGAGAUAUAAAAGAAACAAACUAGCUAAUAACUGCACAUAUACACACAUGCAAAAAGCAGGUAACAUAUGUUUGAGGCAAGUAUUAAUCCUCCAAAGUUCAAACUCUCACAGACUUUUUUCUGAACUCAAUGUGUAUAUGCAUGAAAAGAAACUGUCAGUCUGUCACAUUUAACCUUCAGAAUUGAAAGAACCAACUGUUUGGUAAGUUUUCAUCAGUAAAAAUUAAUAGACCAAUCUUUGUGUAAACAAGAACACAGAUUGUAUUGUAUCUUAGCACUACGAAAACAAGGUCUGAGGCUCUAAGCAACUCUUCGCACACUUAGACGCUUGUUGAUCCACCAAAAUCAGCACAUUCUACUACAGGAGUUUAUGAUGUCAUACACUUGGACACUCGGUAUCAUGAUCCUCUAUGGCUCCCAAUGAUGUUCUCCAAUCCACCUUUCUGUCUAAUUGACUAAUUAAAUCUGCAUACACACCGAAACAAUCCAUAUUCAAUUUAGAUUGCGUGACAAUGAAAAUAUGGGGAUACAUAUGCAUAUGUGUUUCUAGCAAAAUGAUCCAUUUGACCAUUCCAGCUCAGCUCAAGCAUAUCAUUUGAGAAAAACCUUUCAUUUUGAAAUUGAAAGAAUGAAUAUAUAGGCAAUUGGUUACAAAGCAUACUUACCAAGUGUUGGAUACUUAGGAGGAGAAGGAUGCUGGCUUGAAUGUGAUGUGUUGGUGCGUUCAUGGCGAGACCCAUCUGUUUAAUUUCAAGGCAAAGAAAACAAACCAUAAGAAAUAACUUUCCAUUUUGAAAUUGAAAACUGUAAAUGUAAAGGAAAUUGUUUACAAAACUUACCACCACCCCAGUACUGAGGAUCGGAAACUAGAUAUUGGCUUGACUGUGUUGUCUUGGGGAGUGCAUAGAGAUGCCCACCUGUUUAAUUUCAACCCAAAUUAAGAAAAAGAAAAAAAAGCAAAUGAAAUAACUAACCUUUUUUUCGCUAAAACCAUUGAAAACCCCAAAAUUCCUUAAAACCAUCCUAUGUGGCACCACUAAAAGUGUUUUACCAUUGGGAAUGCUCUAAUCUUUUUGGAAUUGGAAGAUUUUAAAUUUAUUUAGGAAAGAUUGUUGACAAACUUACCUGUACCAUCAUAAUCAAAAUAGCCCCAGUACGGAGGAUCAUCGGAAACUGAAUAUUGGCUUGACUGUCUUGCAUGGAGGCUAACAUUAUGUGUUUGUGCAUGUUGUGGUUGCAUGAUUGGAGGAGUGACAUAGUUUUUUUGUGUUUGUGCAUCAGUAGAAACAUCUUUUUGAUUGUUCAAUAGACCAUCACCAACAAUCCUCUUAGUAUUAUUCCUCAAAGUGUGCCUGAACCUGCCAUCACCACCAACAUCAUCUCUAAUUCCAAUAUCAGUGUUUGCAGUAGCAUUAUAGCUUUGGCGACCAUUAUCAUUACCGCCAUCACCAAGACCAACACCAACACCAUGAUUAUUCCCAGUAACAUCGUUUCGCUCAGUCUUUAGUAAUUUGAUCUCAUCGCGAAGUUUAAGCAUACGAAACUUAAGUUUCUUAUUCUCUGCCUCAAGUUCUUUAUUCUCAAAUUUAAGUUUAUUAGACUUGGCGCAAAUUUCCUUAUACUUAACGUAAGGACCACCAAUGGGAUCUUUCAACCAGCAUUGCCCUUCCCAUACUAGCGAAUCGAUAACUUUACUACAUUCCUCUGUACUAUUGAAUGAACUUCUGAGCUUUUCAACUUUUUCUUUACCUAAUUUCGAGACCACCGCUUCAUAUUCCCUCAAAUAAGGUGGAUUUUCUGGUCUUACUACAUUAUCGUUGUUGAUCUUGCGUCUCUGAGCAUCAGUCACUUGGUUAAUAAUGUUUCUUUCUGCAAAAGCAUUAUACCCUUGUUCAUCAGUGUGAUUAAGAUUAACAAUGUUAUUGACUUCUGCUUCAUUGGCAUCUUUUUGCACCUUAUUCAUAUGUAUUCUUUUUCUUAACAUCUUGUAUCUAAAAUUCUCAACAGUGCUUAAAGAAUCAAGGGAAAUUAGAAGUAGCAAGAAAAUCUAGAAUCAAGGAAUUGAAACACAGAAAUUGAAUUUCUUGAAGAAGAAGUAUUAGAAUUAGGGUUUAAUCAAGAAAUAUCGUAUUCAAGAAAUAGAAUCAAAGAAUUGAAAGAACGAAAAUGGAUUUUUGCAAUUCAAAGAUAGAAGAUGUAGAAGAAGAAGAAUUGGAGUUAGGGUUUCAGAAAACGAUGGUUUGUUGUAAGAAUUCGUGAGUUGAAAUAUCUCAAAAAGAAAGAACUCGAAAUUUCAGACAGAACGAAGAGCACUAAAUCAUCUCUCUCACAGAAAGAAAAGAAUUGCUGAACAAGGAAAGCAGAGAACGAACAACUCUCUCAAGACUCAAGUGAUUCGAGCGGGACCAUUAUGGGUCUAGGCCCAAUAACUAUCUCCGAGCUCGGUCCAGUCCACUAGCCCAGCCCAUUUUAAUGGGAAAUUUUACUAGUAGUAGUAUAAAAACAAAUUUUGUUAUUGUAUAAAAAUCAGUUCAGACUAAUAAAGUAUUAAAGUAUAUAGAGAUUUUUGGACAUACCCCCAUUUGAAAGUCGAAAUUUGAGAUACCCCAUUUUAAAAAAUAUUUGAGAUACCCCCAAUUCAAGACAGAAGAGCUUUACAGCCGUAGGUGAGUUUUAUGAUGGAUUAUGAUGGACGGCUAAGAUAACACCACAUCUUGAAUUGGGGGUAUCUCAAAUAUUUUUUCAAAUGGGGUAUCUCAAAUUUCGACUUUCAAAUGGCGGGUAUGUCCAAAAAUCUCAAGUAUAUAUAUAUGUGAACUAUUGCAACCAACAAAAAUGAAAAGAGUCACUUUAUUAGCAUAUCCCCUUAUUAUUGUGGGUGUUACAAAUUACAUUACUUCUUGCAAGCAGGCAAAGGAGAAUCACAGAGACAAUCAUUCCCUAAAAAUGCUUCAGCUUUGAAUUUCAUCGGUGGUAUUGGACCGCAUAAAUGAUUAUGUCCAAGUUCUAGAUGUAAAAUGCUUGUGAGAUUUCUAAAAGUUGUAGGCACAACACCUGUCAAUUGAUUGUAUGAUAGAUCAAGCCUUUCGAGUUUUUCGAAAUUACCAAGGUAAUCUGGUAUUUUACCUGUUAGUAAGUUAUGACCAAGGUUGAGAAGUUCGAGUCUUGGUGCCAAAAAUGAAAUGCUAGGUGGAAUCUCACCGGAGAGCUUGUUGUGAGAAAGGUCUAAUUCCCGGAGAAAAGUCAAUGGUGUGAAUAAAUUUGGAAUUUUACCGGAGAGUUGAUUCUUCUCGAGUUUUAGAAAGACCAAAUUUUUCAUUUGUUGAAUGCCAGAGGGAAUUGGACCAGAAAACUGGUUGCCAGCAAGAUCAAGGUCACGUAAAUGGACGAGUUGAGAAAUAGAACUUGGAAUUUGACCAGUGAAUUGGUUUCCAGAUAGAGUUAAAGUGACAAGUCGUCGAUAAAGUUUUUGGCCUAUAUCCAAAGGAAGUGAACCGGUAAGUUUGUUAUUAUCAAGGGAAAGUCCAUUUAGAUCAGGAAGAUCGAAAACGAAGGUUGGGAAUGUGCCGGUUAAGUUUCGAAGAUUUUGAAGUAGAAGACCUUGUAGAUAUCGAACUUUUGAUAGAGAAGGCGAUAUUGUACCUGAUAAAGUAAAGUCAGGAUCACCUUCUUCAUACAAUGACAAGCUUGAAACACGUUUGUCCUUAGCAAGGCACCAUAUGCCAGACCAUGUGCAACAAUCUGUACCAGGUAUCCAUGAACUAAGCUUGCCCAUUGGAUCUUGAGUAAUGCCUGCUUUGAAAGCUAGUAAGCCAGUUUCAUCAUCUAUGUGACAAUUUGCAAAGCAAGUAUAUGCAGAGAUUGAGAAGCAGAGAAGUGUUAGAGCAAGAAGAGAAGUUGCACUACUGGAAGUGAAUGUCAUAGUGAACUGAUGUGGUCUUAACUCUUAAGCAAUGACAAGGGUUUUAUAUAAGUUCCAGUAGUGUUUCUUUGUUCAAUGCAUGGCAUAAGCACCAAAAUAAUGAUCAUAACACAGUAUGAGUUCUGAGUCAAGUCUGGCUGCUGCGUUUCUGGAUACCAGCUGUUUACGUGCCUACAUUCAUUUCAUUUAAAAGUUAAAACAAUCAACAAUGUAUCAAAACAUAAGAGGAUUAUUUCAAGAGUUAGCUUGGUCUUCAACUGUUGGUAGCACUCAAAGCAGAAGUCGAUAAAAUUUUACCCUGUAUAAACAAGAAAUGGAUCCAAAAUUGUGUUGCUUUUAAUAUAAACAAAGAUAUGGAACAUUUUUGUUUUUUUUUUAUAACCUUAGAUAUGGAACAUUAACGGACAGUAUGAUGAAUGUUUCUCGUGGAGAAAAAUGCAAAUGAAAAAAAAUUAAUCGACAAUAUAUGUAGGCGGCCGUGUCAAUUUAUUCAAAGAAAGAUCAUCACUGUCUAGAGAAAGUGGAGAUAAUGAUGGGAAAUUGGAUAUCUAUAGACAAGUUGUGUGCGCUUUUGGAUGUUCAUAUGGCCUUGAUUAUAGUUUAAUUGUGAUCAUCUUUGAGCAGAUGUGAACAUAGUCUCAUAGACUGCUGCAUUCAUACAUUCAUUUUAUAAUCUACUCAAAUAAGUUGUUUAGCUUGUUUUCUAGUCACAAUGAUAAUUAACUUGACAUUCAAAUUAAUUCCUGCAUGGAGGCAAAGGAGAACCACAUAGACAAUCAUUUCCUAUAAAUGCUCGCACUGGCAACUUCGUCGUUGGUAUUGGACCACAUAAAUGAUUAUGACUUAAAUCUCCCUUCUCCAACCUUGAAAUGUUCUGCGGCACUUUGCCAAAUAUUUGAUUUCGAGCUAAAACCAACGUCUUUAGACCAUCAGGUAAUCUCAAAUCUGACAAAUUAAACUGUAACUGAUUACCUGAUGCCCAGAAUAGUUGCAACAAUGUGGUCUCAUUCAUCAACCCAACUGGAGUACCCGAAAUUUGGUUAUCCGAUAAAUCUAUAUAAUUAAAGAAAUGUUUUUCACUUGGCUUAAAAUCUUCCAACCGAAAUUUUAACCCGCAUCCAGCAAGCUUAAGCGACUGGAUGAGAGUAGAUGAUUCGACCCAUUUUGGAAUUGUACCUAAAUUGAAUUUGUUGUAAGAAAGAUCGAGACUUCCAAAAUUAAAUUUGACAAUCAUUUCAGGGAAUGGGUCGACCAAAUGGUUGUGUCCAAGUUCAAGAUAUAAAAUGUCUGUGAGAUUUCUAAAGUUCUUUGGCACAACACCUGUCAACUGAUUGUAUGACAGGUCAAGCCUGUCAAGUUUUUGGAAAUUACCAAGGUAAUCCGGAAUUUUACCUGUCAGUAAGUUAUAGCCAAGGUCAAGAAGUUCAAGUCUUGGUGCCAAAAAUGCAAUGCUAGGUGGAAACUCACCGGAGAACUUGUUGUGAGAGAGAUCUAAUUUUCGAAGGAAAGUUAAUGGUGUGAAGAAAUCUGGAAUUUUACCGGAGAGUUGAUUUUUCUCGAGAUUUAAGAAAACCAAAUGCUUCAUUUGCUGAAUGCCAGAUGGAAUCAGACCAGAAAAUAGAUUACUACCAAGAUCAAGGUUACGUAAAUGGAUGAGUUGAGAAAUAGAACUCGGAAUUGGACCAGUGAAUUGGUUUUGAGACAGACUUAAAUCUACAAGUCGUCGAUAAAGUUUCUGGCCUAUAUCCAAAGGAAGGGGACCGGAAAGUUUGUUGUUAUCAAGGGAAAGUGUAUUUAGAUCCGGAAGAUUAAAAAUAAAUGUCGGGAAUGUUCCAGUUAGGUUUUGAAGAUUUUGAAGAUUAAGACCUCGUAGAUAUUGAACUUUUGACAGAGAAGGUGAUAUGGUACCUGAUAAAGAAAAAAUGGGGUCGGUUCCUUCAUACACUGACAAGCCAUAAACACGCUUGUUAGCAAGGCACGUUAUGCCGUUCCAUGUGCAACAAUCUGAACCAGAUAUCCAUGAACUAAGCAUGCCCAUUGGAUCUUGAGUAAUGCCUGCUUUGAAAGCUAGUAAGCCAGUCUCAUCAUCUACGUGACAUUUUGCAAAGCAAGGAUAUGCAGAGAUUGAGAAGUAGAGAAGUGUGAGAGCAAGAAGAGAAGCUGCACUACUGGAAGUGAGUGUCAUAGUGAACUGAUGGUUUCUUAGGCAAUAUGAGAAGGGCCUGUAUAUAAGUUCCAGCUAGAGCACCAAGAGAAGAAGCACUCGAUCAUGACACGACACGGUGUGAGUCAAGUCUGACUGCACACUGCAUUUUGGUCAAAAUUGAAUGAAGAGUGGAUAAGAUUUUCUUGUUUGAUGGAAAAUGAACCGAGUACGCAUAUACUCAUAUCAUAUACCAGCUAAUCAUCCAGCCACUGGUUUGUGAAUUUGAGAAAGUCUUAAAGUAGCAAGUCGAUAAAAUUUUCGCCUGUACAAACAUGAAAUGGACCCAAAUUAUGUUGUUUUUAUUGUAAACAAAAUGUAGAUAAGGAAUUAAUAUUAUAAUUGAUUUUGAUUAAUAAGAUGCCGAUUAUAUUUUGGUGCAAUGAUUGUUUGUUUCUGGUGGAGAAGAUUGAAUGAAUGGACAGUAGACGUAGGGCGGCAGUGUCAAUUUAUUCAAAGAUUGUGGAGAUAAAAUGAUGGGAAAAUGGAUAUCUAUAGACAAGUUGCGUGCGCGCACUUUUGGAUCUUCACAUGGCCUUAAUUAAACCAUUAAGUAGUAGCAGAUGUGAACAUAUACAUUCUUUUUAUAGUUCACUAAAAAAGUUGUUCAGCUUGCUUUAGUGAUCGAGCUCAAGGCAAAGUUUCUCAAGCAGAGGCUACAGAGUAAACUAGAUUCAACAACAAGAUAAGUAAUGCCGAAAUAUCACCUCUUGCAAUGACAUUAACCGCUACAUUGAAACAUUAUUUUACAUUGUUCACGAUCAACAUAAGGAUAACAUAAAACCCUAUUUCUUGCAUGGAGAUAAAGGAGAACCACACAAGCAAUCAUUUCCUAGAAAUGCCUGAACUGGAAACUUGGUCACCGGAAGUUGGCCACACAAAUGGUUAUGACUUAAAUCUACCUUCUUCAAUCCAGAAAUGCUCUGCGGAACUUUACCAAACACUUGGUUUCUAGCCAAAACCAAAUUCUUUAAGCUCUUGGGUAUCAAGAUAUUCGACAUAUUAAACCGUAACUGAUUACCUGAUGCCCAAAAGCCUUUUAACAAUGUGGUCUGGUUCAACAAACCAACAGGACUACCCGAAAUUUGAUUAUCCGAUAAAUCAAUAAAAUCGUAGAAAUAUGUUUGUGUUGGCUCAAAAUCCUCUAACCGGAACUUCAACCCACAUCCAGAAAGCUUGAGUGAAUAUAUAAUAGGUGAUGUUGCAACCCAUUUUGGUAUUGUACCUAAAUUAAAUUUAUUGUAAGAAAGAUCGAGCGAUUCGAUCCCUCUUACAUUUAAUUCAGGAAAUGGAUCCACUAAACGAUUGCGCCUAAGAUUAAGAUUAAAAAUCUUAGUGAGAUUCUUAAAACUUAUCGGUACAGUACCUGUCAGUUGAUUCGACGACAGGUCAAGUGUGUCGAGCCGUUGGAAAUUGCCGAAAUAAUCCGGAAUUUUACCAGUAAGAAGAUUAUGGCUAAUCUCAAGAGAUCCAAGUUGUGGUGCCAAUGCUGAAAGUGUAGGUGGCAAUUCACCAGUGAGCUUAUUGUAAGAGAGGGUUAAAGCUCGGAGUUCUGAAAAUGAUGUGAAAAAAUCCGGUAUUUUACCGGAAAAUUGAUUCUUCUCGAGAUUUAAGUAAGUCAAGUUCUUUAAUUGUCGAAUUCCAUCGGGAAUUUGACCAGUGAAAAAAUUACCAUCAAGUUUAAGCUGAGACAAAUGAGUGAGUUGAGAAAUAGAACUCGGAAUUGAUCCGGUAAAUCGAUUUCCAGAUACACUUAAAGCAUAUAAUCGGAAAAGUUUACCAAUAUCAUCAGGAAGUGGACCAGAAAGCUGACUGUUUUCAAUAUAAAUGGUACUUAAAUCGGGAAGAUUGUAAAGGAAUAUCGGAAAUGUGCCGGUAAUGUUUCGGAGAUUUUGAAGUUGAAGAUCAAUUAAAUAUCGGAUUUUUGAAAGUGAAGGCGAUAUUGUACCUGAUAAGAAACCUUUCGGGUUUUCAACUUGACCAUAAAGUGAUAUACGUGUGACUCGUGUACCAAAACCAUCAAGGCAUGAAAUACCAGACCAUUUGCAACACUCUGUGCCGGAUUUCCAUGAACUAAGUAUUCCUGAUGGAUCUUGAGUUAUUCCAGAUUUGAAAGCUAGUAAACCAGUUUCAUCAUCUAUAUGACAUUUUGCUAAGCAAUGUAGAGAGAAAACUGAUGAGAGUAAGAGAAGAAGUAGAGUGAGAAAACGAGAAACGAAAACGAACGACAUUUUUAUUUGUUUGAUUCUCUAUAAUUGAGCUUUAUUUAUAAUGAAAAGUUGGUGGUACAUCAAGAUCAUCAUAACUAAGCAUUGAGAUUUUGUUAAGAUUGAUCACUAUGAUAUGUCUAACGUUGAAUCUUUGUUUGACUAAUCCGACAUAUCAGUAUGGUGCCACUGACACUUAAAUUGAUGACAUCAUCGGUCAAGUCUGAUGGCUGUUUUCAAGUCAAAUUGAUUGUACAAAUUAGAUAUGCAUAGAAUGGAAGGAUCUUAUUUUUAUCCAUAGCAUGAUUAAGUGGCACUUUGUAGGGUUGGGACUUGGGACACGUGAGAGAGAAAAGAACCAUACAUCACCCUUUGUCAAUUGUCCCUUCUGAAAUGUAAUAUCCAUGUCCACGAAUACAUGAUAUCUUUUUGUAGGGCAGUUAUCUUUUCUUCUUUGCAAUGGUAGUUCAUGAUUAUUUUCCAAGUGAAAAAAAAAAGUUACAUCCAUGAGUACUAUACAGAUGGGUUAUACAGAAUUACAUAUAGAGAUUAUAGGUUAGACUGUAUGUACAGAAUUAUAUGUUCGAUUUGGUUUUGGGUGUUCGAAAAUUUUUGAACCUACAAACGAAUACCAAAAGCAAGUGUUUUAAAAAACAAAAAUUACAACCGAAUAAAAAAACAUGCAAACACCUUAUUUUUUGGUUUGGAUCUGUUUAAAUUAGUUCGAUUUACAUGUUUUGGAUCGGUUUUGCCCAACCCUGAUAGACAAGGGCAGAACCUGUUAUUGUGUGUUGGAUGUUGUCAAGCGGGCCUACCCUUGGUUGUCAUGGCCAUCCUUGUCACCUUGUGAUAAGGUUGAAGGGGGCCAUAAGAUACAUUUUUUUUUUUUUUUUAAUCUAUUAUACUAUAUUAAAGCAGAAAAUACCCCCAAGAAAAUAUCUCUUCAAUUAGGCUAUCAAUUAGAUUGAAAUUGAUAGCCUAAUUGAAGAGAAUUUUGAUUAAGUUUGGGUAUAUUUGUAAUUACGCAAAAGUGGACCACCAUCACAGAUAUAAUUAAGCCCAGUUAGACCAUGGGAAUAAUUAAGCCCAAUAAAAAAAAUUAAAAGAAUACCCAAUCCCAAGUAUAAUCAAGUCCAACCCAUACCCAGUUGGACCAAAUCACAAGUAUAAUUAAGCCCAGUAAAAAAAAUUAAAAGUAUACCCACUCCCAAGUAGAAUAAAAUAUACUAAAACCUCGAUAAAUUAAUAGCCUUGGGAAUAGAGAAAAUUAUUAAUUAAACGAGAUAUUAAUUUAUCGAUUAAUUAAUAAACUAUUAAUUUACAUAAACAAUAUAUUUUCAUGUAUAUCUUUCUUUUUAGGGGGCUAACAUGAUGAAGCUGGAUAAUCAUUUUAUUCUAGAACCCGUUCCACGAAAAGAAACACUAAAAUCGAUAAUGAUAUUGGAAUAAUUUCUUCUUGCAAUACAAAAUACAACAUCAGAUCAACUCAUCACACUACAAAAAUUUAGAGACGAGGUUCAAACCAAAAUCAAUUUUGAGAAAAAAAAAUAAUAAUUGACUUUCAUUAUAAAAAAAUAUAAAAUAUAUUUAUAUAUCAAAAAAAUAUUAAUUUAUAUAUUAGUUGGGCCUUCAAUGAUUUUUCUAAAAUGUAUUAAUUAUCUAAUAAAUUUAGCGAAAUAUUAAUUUAUAAACAUAUGCCCAAGUUGGGACCAGCCAAAAAUAUUAUUUAAAGGAGAUAAUUAAUUUAUCGGGUAUUAUCUUAUCGAGGUUUUAUUAUAUCUUUUCAAUUAUGCUGAAAUUGAUAACUUAAUCGAAGAGAAAUUCAAAACUCACCAAGAUUUACAUUGAAAUCACCAAAUGAUUUAUUACGUUUAUACAACUUCUCCAUCUUCCUCUUCACUCAAAGUCUAUGUCUGCUUAUAUGCUUAUAUUUGAUCCAUGUAUAUUUGAUGUUUGUUGAAGAUCUCUCGACGACACAGAAAUCAAAACUCACCAGUAUUCUAAGUCAAAUGGGCAGCUAUGCAAGUUUAUUAAUAAGAUCAUUAAUAAUAUUAAUAUGAUAUUAUUGUGGACACAUGUCAAACAUGUUUGUGAUGGUCAUUUUCAAGUACAUUAUCAAUUUGACAAAAAGUAUAUUUUGCAAGAAUAUGGAGAACCAGUAAUCUAUUUCUUUUCCUUGCACUUAGUAGGCAUUGACAAAAAGUAAAUAAAAAUAAAAAAUAAACUCCAAUAAAAAUGAUGAUAUAAUCUUCAAUACAUUUCAAUGGUGGGGAUACGAAAAGGGACCCAAGUAGCAGUAAGACUUAUUUACUGCAAUUUCAUGAAAUUUGAGUUUCCCUUAAUUUGUGAUCUAAUGUACGUAAAUGUGUUGCAGAUGGGACUAUAUCAAAAAAUAUCGUAAGAUUCACACAGACAUGGAUUAUAUGGUUGCCUUCCGGAAAUGCUUAACUACAUGGGCCUAACGGGAUCUCUCCGUCACAUUACAAGUAAGUCAUCUUUAUCAUCAUAAUAGUUUGUUAAAUAUUUCGAAUUUUCAUGGUGUUAACUGUUACAAGCUAAUUAAGAGACGCUCGACUGCUAAUGGACUACUGUGAAAAGAUUGUUUCCCAAAGUGAUGAAGCCUCAACAACCGAACCAGACUAAAUUCUAAUUGAGACUUUGAGACUUGAGAGUACUGCAAAAUCCCAUUCGCCUAGAUAUCUUCAAAUGUUUUGGGUUUAAUUUCCAUGUAUAUAUAAUAAUCAUUUAAUUUCAAUACUCAAAGAUUUAUAAUAAUUCUAAAUGAAAUCAUACCAGAUCAUAGACUUUUGAAACGGGCUAAACAAAAUAUUACAAGUUACAUAAACCCCCCCCCAAAAAACUCUAAAACAAUCAGAUAUGCCCGUGCAUUGCACGGGCCUAAGGACUAGUAUAUGAAGUAGAGCAUGAAUUGAUUGAACUAAAUGUUUACCAAAAAAAAAGAAAAAUUAAAUGUUUUGGUAUUUUGAUCAUCAUGAAAAAAUAAAAAAAUUGAUCACCAUGAGUGACCGAGUGUUAAUGUUUGUGUCAAUGUGUCAUUGUGUGUUGGACGUUGGAUGUUGUCAAACCUGCCCAAUUACACGUACUUAGUUAUAGUCUUAUAGGCUUUAUUAUGACCCGGCCCUAAUACGACGAACAAAUAAAGGUUGAACUAAUGGUCCAACCCGGCCCAUAUGACAUCACCGCAAUGCGGGAACAUUCACCUAACACGAUACCGCGUAAAGAAAAAGCAAAAAGAAAAGUGCGAAAAACCGAAUCAAUUCCAUUGACGAACUUCAUCACAAUUCACCAAGAAGAAAUAAGAAGAGAAAGAUCAACACAGAGAGAGAGAGAGAGAAGAGAGAUUCAAGUUUCAGUCGAUCAGAUCUUACAUCGUACUCAGCGUAUUUUAGUAUCCAAACAAACACUAGAAAGAUGAGUUUUUUGUUCGGCAAGCGAAAAACACCUGCAGGUAUAUUAACAUAUAUGUUUGAAUUAAUCGUUUUAAUAUGUUUUUUGUUUCAAUUUGAUGAUUGAUUGAUUGUUAUUUUUUAGAGCUUUUGCGAGAAAAUAAACGAAUGAUUGAUAAGUCAAUUCGAGAAAUUGAAAGAGAAAGACAAGGUUUACAAACACAAGAGAAGAAACUUAUUGUAGAAAUUAAGAAAAGUGCUAAGCAAGGACAGAUGGUAGAGUAUUCAAUUAUUUUGAAUUUUUUAAAAUUUGCUUACAUGAUUUAAGAACUUUGUGGUUAAUAGAUUCAUCAAUUUGAAUUAAGAUGUGUUGUUUUGAUUUAGGGUGCGGUGAAAGUUAUGGCUAAGGAUCUUAUUAGAACUCGACAUCAGGUUGAAAAGUUUUACAAACUUAAAUCUCAGCUCCAAGGUGUAGCUCUUAGAAUUCAGGUACUACUACUGUCUUUUGAUUUUAUACGUUUUCUUUUGUUCAAUUAUGUCUAAUGCUUAUUCAGGUUGCGUGUUUAUUUGAUUCUAGUGUUGAGAAUAACAUGAAUUGGCUUUAGAAUAUUUACGAAUUGAGAAUGUUGACAACAAUGAAAAUUUUAUUGACCUGACAGAGGUUGGGGAAUAUCUUUGAUGAUAUUAGGAGAAAGGCAGCACUAAUAAUCUAAAAUUUUGAUGUAAGCUUUUAGCUAGAUUCAUUCAAGAAUAUGAUAAUUUAGCCAAAUCAACUUAACUCUGAAAGGAUUAAUAGUUUUUACAUGUGUAUUCAAAUCUGUAGUUAGGCCUCUGCGCAAUGUUAAAAUUAGACUAUCUUUUAUGAUGUCUGAUGGUGAUUAUCCAUUAAUGUAAAUAUGUAUUGCAAUGUUUUUCUCAAGUAAUAAACAUAUAAGUGGUGAUAUCACACUGAUUUUUGUGUCUUAACCAAACUUCAUUUAUGCUUUUUUUUGCUUCCAAGCUUAAGUAGGGUUUUCAUUUCCCACUAUAUUUGAGGGAAUUUUGUUCUGUUAGUGAAUGUUCAUGUAUUUGUUCUUAUUUUACAGACAUUGAAAUCGACUCAAGCAAUGGGAGAAGCCAUGAAAGGUGUGACCAAGGCAAUGGGCCAGAUGAAUAGGCAGAUGAACUUGCCAUCAUUGCAAAAAAUAAUGCGAGAGUUUGAAAUGCAAAACGAGAAGAUGGAAAUGACAAGUGAGGUAAUGGGAGAUGCCAUUGACGAUGCUUUGGAAGGAGAUGAAGAAGAGGAAGAGACAGAAGAGCUUGUGAGUCAAGUGCUUGAUGAGAUUGGAAUAAAUAUCAACAAUGAGGUUUGUCUUUACUUUUUAUCUUUUUUCCUUCCCGAGGGGUAAUUUGGGUGACGAUGAGGUACAUUUUUACUUUUCUGGGCAAUAUUUCUGAACUCUUGGCUUUAUUGAAUAUGCAGCUUGUGAAUGCACCUGCUUCAGCGGUGGCGGCACCAGCUGCAAAUAACAAGGUUGCCCAAGCAGAACAUCCUGAGACUGAAGAUGGUGGGAUUGAUAAUGAGCUACAGGCAAGGUUAGACAAUUUAAGAAGAAUGUAGUGUUGUUGUAUUUACAAAACACAAGCUUGGCUACGGACAUGAAAGGGAUUGUAUACGUUGUAAUUAAUCAUAUCUUGCCUGAAUUAUUAUUUAAAAAUAGUGAAAAUGUUCGGUGAUUAUGAAUUUGCCAGUUUCAUUGUUGGUAUAUCAAAAUCAUGGUGACCAAGAGAUAUUGGGACACACAAGUACUUAAGUAGUCAUACAGACGUCUAGGUAGGUUGGCAGUUGAUGUGAAGACUAUCCUGUUUUCUCUUUGAAUCGAUAAGAUGUUUUUAUUAAACAAAAAACUGGGCUCAUUGCCUUGAUCCUGUUUUAGGUACAACUCUCUGUAUCACGUUAUCCAAAUGGGAGAUAUCAAGUAAUCAGUAAUCUCGUAUGUAUGAUGCACAGAUCCUCAAGUUUUCACUCUCCUUGCAUUAUUUGGGUUGUCUUAUUAAGCAGGUAUAGUAGAAAUGGACAAGGUGUAAAACAAUAUGAUCUAUACAAUAUCCCCUGAUCUAAGGGUUCAUCUUCUCAAAUAGAGUCACACAGGACUUCUUUUUUCAUAUAAAUACUGAUAAGUCCAUGUCAAAGUGAAGCAAGAUUAUCCAGAUUGUAUGUAGAUACCAUCACAAUAUAUGUCACCAAGGUGCAAGCAUCUAUAUACAGUAUGUAUUUCUAUUACUGGUGAAUCGCCAUACCCCAAGUAAAAGUCAGUAGUAAAUGCAUGCAAAAAUACAUCGAACUUUAUGGCAUGUCUUCCAAUCGAGGUGUUAGGUAUCUCAUUCCCAAUAAAGAUGGAUUGAGGUCUUCUACCUUAGCUGUUACUAGUUUGUUUAGCCAGAGAAUGAAACAGAGAAACAAGACAGGAUAUCACCUGUACGUGAGGCCACUUGCCUUCUCCACAGUCUUGCAAAAGCAUUUAUGAUGUAACUAGUAAAUCUGUUUUGUAACAAAAAAGGCUUUCUUAAUUUGCCAACUUCUUUGAUCAUACAGUCGUAUUGAUAGAGCAUAGCUAGUCUCUUGAAAUCACAUACAGUAUUGCUUGAAUCAUGAUCACAACAGUACACUCAAAUAUCAAUCCCAUAUGGCAUAUGUUGAGAUUCUCCAGGCUUUGCUAAUAAGCCUACAUACAGGCAUACAGCUAAAACUCUCCUGAUAAAUAAUACACACCAGUCACCUUUUGUACCAAGUACCAACAAACAAGUUGAACGUAGUCCUCGUGCUCUAUUAGCAUCUUGUGACUCGAUUAACCUUGCACCAUCCAUGAUCCAUGCAUGGUGCAGCGUUGGCAAUGUCUAUGUCCUGGAAAACAAGGCGUGUUGAAGAUUGCAGUGAAUGAUACCAGAGAGGCAAACAUGCUGGUGAGCAGUUUAGCAUCUAGAAACCCAAAUGGGCCCAUUUGAGGCCCAGUUUUGAACAAACCAGAAUACAACCAGACCAAGUUGUCGGAUCGACGAGCAAAUUCUUCAUUUGCCUUUUGCCUUGUGCCUUGAUCGACAAGGCAAAAGAGCGAAAGGCAUCUUCUUCUUCUUCGUCGUCUUCUUUCUCGUAUAAAACUUUCUUCAAACACCUGAUAGACAUUAUGGAUAAAAUCCCUAAAAAUGAUUCAAACUGAUGAAAUCGCCUCAUCAACCCCUUUUCUUUUACCAUCUUCUUCAAUUCCCAAUCAAUAUUACCGUUUUACCCUUCACAACAAACCUUCAUCUUCUUCCAAUUCCCGCCAAACCAUUUCACCAAUGUGGGUUUCAAAGAUAAGAACCCUUCGAUGGGUUACUUUGAUAUUGGGGAUUUCGAAUUUAGUUGUUAUUGUUCUUGGUGGGAUUUUGGUGGUUUCGUCUAGUUGUAGUAGUGGAAUGAUUCUUCCAUUUGUUGUUAUAAUGGUGACUUCUAGUAUUAGAAUUAUGUCUAUGGUUGGUAUUGGAAUUGCGCAAGAAGCGACUGCAACUACAAUUAUAAGUUCACCUCAAGAAACUUUAGCUGUUGAUGCUGUUAUUCGACAAGAAAGACGGGUAAUUUUUAAGUUUCUCUUACAAAUUACUCUCAAGUUUGUACUCGCAUUGUAUAUAAAACUUUGUUGAGUAUAGAGUAGGUGUUUGUUUGUAUCACAAUAUACUGGUUUGACAAUCUAAUGAGAUGAAUGAUAGGUGGUGUUAGUCUCAUUGGUGAGCUAUAGGUUCGGAUUUCAGUGAAUUUGUUAACGCAACAAGCCAAUAAAUCAUCUAUUGUUGAAAAAAUGGGAAGAGUGAAGAGACAAUCUAUUUGAGUUAAUUAUGUGUUAGAUGCCUCUAUUACAUAAUACUCAAAGCAAAAUUUCUACGUGACAACAUUUUAUGUACUGUAGUUGUAGUUUUCUGUUUCCUUUUCCAAUGUAGGAUACAGUAUCUCUUCCUACACUGUAAGUGGCUAUCUAAUAAGUUUUAGUUUUACAAAGUAAUAAGAAUGGUACAAAAGUAUCUUCUUGCAGUGACACCAUUCUGGAGGCAACAGGAUCUUUAUUGCUAUUCUAUUAGUCUUUUAGUAUAUACCUGUAACAUUAGAUGGUACUUCUGCAUCAGUUAUGUAGAUCUUUCUUUCUUUCCUUCCUUUAAAAGGCCCUGCAGUUGGAAUCAUUUUGCUGAAUUACAUAUAUCAUGAUGAACAGAUGAGAUACAAAAGAUGGCUGUGGUGGACUCGGUUUGGGAUGGUAAUUACUGUAUUGCAAUUUGUAGGGGCUACUUAUUUGAUGUUCGUGAUACUAAAAUAUUUUUCUCAUAAUGGAAAUUCAAGGGCCUGCUUUUUAGGUAAUGUUUUUUCUUCAAACUGGUUUUGAAAUUUCCAUUUCUUGCAUUCUUUAUGAACAUUUCGGUGACUUUGUUCUUUCCUUCAAUAAGCUUUCAAGCUAUCUUUUGAAAUUUUAUUUGUAACCUUCUUUACUUUUAUGUUUUUUAUGUGGAUCAGAACCCAAUAGUAUUGGAUGGGAGAAAAAUAUACUGGUCUUCUUUAUCAUUUUAGUGUGGUUUCUGGUUACUUUACAAUGUAUCGCUGGAUCGGAUGUACUAAGAUGGAGAUCUUUCUAUGCAACACAUGAUAAUGCAUGGAAAGCUCAUUACCAGGAGGUAUUUGAUCAUGGGCUUCGCGAAGCUUUAUGCUGCCUUGGACGUGUAAAAUACUUGUAAGCUUCUCUUUAAAAUUACUUGAAUUUCAAGAACUGUCUGAUAUGCUCCACAUCUCUUUCUUUUCUUUUGUCUCAUUUGAUUCAAACAGAAGUGUCUUGGAAGAAGAUGAAGUUUUUUCAGUAGCACGACUCUUGGGUGAUCUUGUUGCAUAUCGCGCAUCAGGAACUGGACAUUUAGAACUCUUGGCAGGUAAAUCUCUUUUGUGCAGUGUUGUCAUUGUUUGACAUAAUUAAUCGAUGUGCCAUAUAUGAUGCCUAUUACUUUGAAUUGUGUCUUGUCUUUUUAUACUUGGUAUGACUUAUCCACUGGAUGCAAAUAGGGAAUUCCAUUUCCACCCAGGGAAUCAUGAGACACUCAAGAUACAUGAUUUUUCGAGAGUGAUUAUAGAUGUUAACUUGUUAAGUACUCAUUCUGCAUUAAGGACUGCGAAGUCUUACUAUAUAUUCCUAGAUCAAAAAUCAUUUUUACUUUACUAUGGAAUGACAAUAGGAGAACCUGUUGUUUCAGGACUUGCGUUGUUGCAAAGACGUAGGGAUUCAUUAAAUUCGUAUGAAGAACUAGUGGAGGCACCUGAAGAACAGAUUCAAGAGGCAGCUGCCUUCCAUCAAUUUGCUGAGGCUGCCUACACGGUCUUGUCUUGUAACAUUUACUAUUCUAUUAUUCUUUUACAAGGUUUAAGAUGGAUACUUACUUUGUGUAACAAUUUUGUGGUGCAGGGCCCUUUGCUUGAUUUUGGAAGAAAUCCAAUAUUAUUUCCUUGUGCAUGGCUCUACAGGCAAGGGGUCUUGACCCCCUGGACUCGUAACAGGUCUUUAACUUGCUCGAAGUGUUUUAUUUUUAUUUUUUUUCUUCUUUAAAACGAACAUGCAUAUCAUAAAAUAUUUCGAAUAUAUAAAGAUCUAUGCAUGUCGCUUGUCCUUCAGUUCCAUGUAGCUUGUGUUUUCUUGUUUUUGCUUUCUUUUGUGUGUGUGUGUGUGUGUGUUUUGAGAUGACCUAGCAUUUCAUUAAUAGGAAUGAUGAGUACAAAUAGGUAGGUCAGAUAGUCCUGAUAUGCAGAAAUAACUUACAAGAAUAAAUGUUAUAAAAUAUGAAAAUAAAAGUAAUGGCCAGCCUUAGUUAAAUAUCCAUUAAUCACUGUCGCUCAUGAAAACUGGAAGCACACAUUUGAGCUCUGAUUUUCGACAAGAAGUAUAUGGUUUGUUCCAGAUUUUUGUGGUUCCAUGAAGGCAGAAAACCAAAGACCUUCCAAUCAUUUCCCAAUGGGGACAGCAACAAGCGGCUGUAUAUUGGUGCUUUAUGAUCAAAAGAAAGCCAAACAAUUGAGUAAAACUACAAUAACGAUACUUCCGUCUGUGCUCAGCAUUGUGUAUAUAAUAUUAAAACAACCAUCAAAUUGUGAUCUAUGCUUUGCUCAAUCAUCUAAGGAUCAUUGAGGCACAAUCUUACUUAAAUUUAACGCCACGAUUUUUAUUGAGCUAUUACUCUAUGAUUGGUUCAUUCAUAUUAUUCUGAGAAUAUAAAUCAUUCAAGGUAAUGAUUUUUGUUUGGUGCUGUUUUGAUGAAAUUUAUUUUUCGUUGCAUUUUCCGCACUUGGUAAUUUACCUAUGUCCUUUUUCAGACGGCCUAUCCUUGAAGGUGAUAAUUGGUGGCGUGGCCAUGCAGCAGCCUUUCUAAAGUAUGUUAAUCUACCCCCAGAAGCACUUAGGCAAGGACGGGUCAGUCAGGUGAAUAUUGUGGGACUUCAAUAUUUGCCUUUGAUCUCUUUUUACAUGGGUUUAUAUGUUCAAAGUCCAUAAACAAAUAUAUUUGUGUGCGUGAUACAAAACCCCUGUCUCUUGAUAAUUGGUAUUUCAAUGCUGCGUACAUAAAAUCCAACUACGAAGUCCGAUCCUAUAACCAUAUGUCCAUAUAUCAUUGCAGUCCAAUACUCACAACACAAAAGAAAGGAACAGGAUUUUGUGGUAUUUUACAUGCUAAACAUUUUAGACAUACAUUUACACUAAUCUAGGUAGAACCAGACAUAACUAUCAUUAAAAAUUAAGAUCCAAAAUCAGAACCAAAGUUCAAUAGCGGUUUGGUUUUCAGAGUUUUUCAGAUUUCUCUACAUCUUUAAGAUUAUAAUUGUAUGUUGGUUUGUUUCAGUUUCUGGUUUUAACUGUUAACUACUGUGUUACAUCCAUAAAUGUACAAAACUUUAAAUGAUACCCCCAACAAAGGAUAUUGAAGAAACAUAUGUAUUGAUGUUAUGCAUGAAAUACGAUGGAAGAGGCACAAAACUGAAACAAAAAUGUAGGCCAGCUAUGAUACGGUUGAUGUCACAUUAUUUACAGUUUAUAGAUGUUGUGAAUUAGCAUAUUGCUAUGGUUACUUUCUCUUUGUUGGGUUUAUCUGCCAGUUUUACUGGUUACAGUUUUACGUUAUUUACAGUUUAUAGAUGUUGUGAAUUAGCAUAUUGCUAUGGUUACUUUCUCUUUGUUGGGUUUCUCUUUGUUGGGUUUAUCUGCCAGUUUUCUUGUACCUAAUAUCUUACAACUUCUAAAGAUUCAAUGUCAGCUCUCUCAAUUCUCUUACCUUUCACAGAACUCCUUGAUAUGGGAGAAAUUUUUAGUUGCCUUUUAUUCCAUGUCUUCUUCCUUUAAUUUUUUUCUCUAGGCAAAGUGUGAAGCUGCAUACUAUAUUGUGAUUCUACAUCAUCUGCAAACUGUUGUUAUAGCUGUACGUGGAACGGAGACUCCUGAAGAUCUUAUAACUGAUGGUUUAUGCAGAGAAAGCCCCCUAGAAAUGGACGAUUUGGAUGGGCUGAUAAAGUCAGUCUCUCUCCCUGACUUCUGUGAUUUUUAAACAUUUAAGCACUUUAUACUCUGUUGUCAUUUGGUUAUCUAGUUUUUAGCUUCACAAUCCUGCAGUAAAAACUCCUAAUUUUAGAUUGAAUGAGUGAAUUUGCAUUUUGUGUAACAAGUUUCUGCUUUGAUAUUUUUUAUUUUGAAAAGCAAGAUACAUUUAAUAGUUUGUCCUUAUUUAUUGUUUUUUCUCUGAACGUCAGUGAUAACAACAAAAUAGUUUGAACAAUUCCUUUCUAUAUGUUGCUUUGCCUCUGAACGUUAGUGAGAUAACAUGUUAAGUUUAGCGCAUAUUAAGUUUGAACAUUUUCAGUCUUUUGAGCAUUUAGCGCAUAUUAAGUUUUACAUCUUCUCUGGCAUUCCUCUUUCUCCUGGAUCAGUUAUCCUUUUUUAACUUUGCUUUUUGUCACCAUUUAUACCUUAUUCUCUUUGCAUUAGUGGUCGCAUUCACCCUGAUGUAAAGCAAAGAGUUAUGUCAUCUUUUCCACACUAUGGGCAUUCUGGAAUAGUUGAAACUGCACGGGAGUUGUUUAUGCAAGUUGAUGGACAAUCUGGAGGUAAAGCAUCUACAUUAUGAUAAGAUAUUUCUUCUAAAUUUUGUUCCUUUUGGUAAUUGUUGUGAAUUUAUAUUUGUCAUUACCAGUCGUUUGUUCAUGCUCCUGUAAUAGUUCAAAUAUGUACUCAUGGCCUUAUCUUCAUUACAGAUCAACUAAAUUAAUCUGAUUCAUUUGGAUUUGACUUGUAAUCUGUAGUAGUCAUAAUUCAUUCUAGAGUUAACAACAUAUGACUCCUGCCUUGAAAUUGCCUGAAUUUCUUUUGGCUCUCUUUCCAAUUAUUAUUUUGGAUUUGUAGAUUUCAAUUCCACUGGGUUCCUUUCUUCAUUGUUGGGUGUUGGAUGUGAGUGUCAUGGUUACAAUGUUCGCAUUGUUGGUCAUUCUCUGGGCGGUGCUAUUGGUGCGUUACUGGGAAUAAGGGUAAGCAUUUCUUCAUUUCAACUGAUGCUGUUAAACGGAUUCUAAAGUAUGCUUCCUUUUAUUUCAGGUUUCUAUUGUUAAAUACUCAGAUAUUUAGUCCAAUAUGUGCCAUGUUUUCAUCAGUUUAUUUAGUCCAAUGCUGUAUGCGAGACUAUGUGAAUAUCAUGCAAUCAUGGUCUAUGUCUAUCUAUGGCUGUCGCCAUAAUUCCACCUAGAUUCCAUGACAAUAUGAACACUUGACAUUAAAGAUUCCAAAAUAGGAUCCUGUAUUUACAUCUGAAUCCUUAUUAUUCGAAUAUGAUGAAGCAUCAGCAUCAGCACUCGUGUCCUGAUGUGGCCAUGCUAGUAGCUGCGUGGAUAUGUGAUCACCCUGGUGUCUGACAUCAGAUAGACAGUGGCCAUGACAUUUUAAUCAGCAGCUAAAACUUCAACUGUUAUCCAAAGCUUGAGAAUAUGAAUAUACUUUUUGUUGUGCUUUAUUGAUUUCAAAGGGAUUAAUCAUACAUUUGUUUCACAUGUUUAUCUUAUUUCACAGUUGUACCGCCGAUACCCAAAUUUACAUGUGUAUUCAUAUGGGUCCCUCCCAUGUGUGGAUUCUAUUGUUGCAGAAGCAUGUUCAGACUUCGUAACAAGGUGACUAUAUGCAAAUCAAACCAUUAUCAGGGUUUAUAUUUACUCUCGUCUUCUUGUUUAAUAGUUGAAAUCACCUCGUAAGGCUACUAUUCAGAGUGUCACUUUGGUCCGUGAAGUUGUGCCCAACAUAUAUUUUGUUCUUGCUUGUCAUCUUUCUAUACAGAACGCCUAAUGCAGUGAUAUCUUGACAUUUUCCCAGCAUUGUCUACCGUUAUGAAUUUUCAUCACGCCUUUCAGUUAACUCUAUAAUGAGGCUCCGUGCUGCUGCUAUCUCCGCAUUGUCACAGGAUUCCUCGGCUGAUUCAGCAAUGAUUUGCAAACUUACCCAACAGAUUUUUAAUAUUAGCCCAUGCCUCAAGAGCAAGGAUGGUAUGCGCUCAUCAUCUUUUCACUGUGGAGCUUUGACAGCCGAAGACAAUAACUACCAUACGUACAAGAGAAAACACUAUAAACAUGUUAUCACAGGUUGUGUUAUGGUGUUCAUGCAAUUUUUGGUCAAUCUGCCUAAUUUUCUUGAAUAUCGCUUUCUAAUAAGUAUAGAAAUGCAAGUGCUCAUCUUAAUUGUAGAGUCUUUCUGAUUGCUAUCUCUGCAGGAAAUGAUGAACAGGAUCAAGCAUUUGCUUCUCAAGAAACAACUGACUCCACUGAAAACCAGAAUGCUGUAAAUCUGAUAGAGUGUUUUGAUGACAUACCAAGUAGUUUCACUGUUCCAUUGUUUGGUACAGCUGAUGUUGUCCCUUCUUGUGAAGAUCCUGUGUCUGACUUUCUGAGUGGGGCCCCCUUACCCACUGAAGCAUCAAUAGGAGAAUCUCCGGAGAUUUAUAUUCCAGGACUUGUCAUUCAUAUUUUACCACAAAAAGGGAGUGCCCUAUCAUUGUGGAAAAGCUGGAAGGUCCAUGAGAGAGAACAUAGUUAUAAAGCUUAUUUAGCGAAUAGAGAGAACUUCAAGGAUAUUAUUGUGUCGCCAUAUAUGUUUCUUGAUCAUCUUCCGUGGAGGUAACAGACAGUCAUUACAUUUUGUGUUGUUUUGGUUUGUUGGUCUGGUUUUAUGGUUCUUGUCCUUUAAAAUGGAGAGAGCAAUUAACGCUAACUCAGUUUUUAUAUGCACGUUGAUAUUUCCAGGUGUCACUACGCCAUGCAGAAAGUGCUGGAGACGAAAGCUCAAGUUCAACUCUCAGAUCCUGAUAUAGUUUGAAUGUUUUCUUGUUUUAUUUCCCGGAAUUGGUGAGGCAAGUGUAGUGCUGGUGCUCGUGCUCUUCUAUCGUUACCCAAAAGAGUUAUAUGAUUGACUAGAUGCUACGACAACCUCAUGCGAUCAUAAAUACUACCCUCACCAUCCCCUCAGAAGGGGGAGCAGAAAAAAACAAAAAAUGUAGUCUGUACAGUCAUAUUUAGUGGCUAAUGCUGCUAUCCCAUUAGAUAUCCAUUGUAUCACGCAAUGAUCUAUGUCCAUUGUUGUAACAAGUUUCUGUAGAAAUCUUGGUUCCCCUGUACUAAUGGAAUUUAUUUUGCUCUCUAUACAUUACAGAAAAAUGCUUCAAUAAAUAUGAAGAGGCAAAAAUUUGUCCAUAUAGCCAAUUUUCUGUUAUAAUUUUUAACUACAAAUUUCAUUAAAAUUCUGCACACUUUGGAAUUUUCAGAAAUGUUCCUAAAUUGCCCAGUGUAUCGUAAUUCAGGUUUGCUUUCCUUUUCAAUCACUCUGACCUUUUUAAUCAUGCUUUUUCUUUGUAUCUGUUAUCAAUUAAUUGUACCACCUUGUAAUCAUUGGUAAAUCAAACCCAAUCCAAGCAGCAAGCUCUUAAUUAAUUGUCUUGUCGCUGGGUUCCAAAACAGUAAACUAUGUGCUGUCUGAACAGAGAUACCUAUAGAAUUGCUGUUUUACCAUGGAGGCCAUUGGCAUCUCUAACUGAAAAGAUCUGAGUUUAUCAAUACUGCAAAAUUAUGAUAUACAUAUACAAGAUACACCUAAACAAAACAAAGGUAUUCCAAAAUAUAACAAACACGAUAGAGGAUUUCUUCCUAAAAUGUACAAACUGCGACAAAAGGAAGAUAUGUGGUCAAUUCCACCUACUGUUUAUAUGUGGUUACAGUUCUAGAAAAAAAAAAAAAAAAGAAGGCAGCAGCAUGAAUUGGGUGCUGGAUUCUAGUUAACUGAUAAGCAACAGAGAAAUGGUACCCAUUUUGUUUUCCGCUUCUGUCUACUAUCAGGCAGUCUCGCAGGUGAACUCCAUUCCUUGUCGAUAUUUUUUGUCAAACCAUUAUUGGUAGUAGAUACUUCAAGACUUGCAAUUGGAGGGACUGUUUUAAAGGUGUCAUCAUCUUCAGAUGCUGGUGGUUUGGAAUUGCCAUGUGCAGUUGCAUCCUGACUGCUUUCAAAAUUUGGUUCAACCAGAAAACUCUUCAAGGGAGCACGUACUUUGGCAGAACUCCAAUUUGUCACUUUUUCAAUGAUCUCUUCAUUCUUUUUUCUCCCUUGCAAUUCAUUAGCGGGGGCUUGCAAAGAAGAUUCAUGUGGCUGUUGCAAAUUUUGACCAUUCUCUCCACUGGGUUCAGCCACGAUCAAGAUAGAAGGUGCCUCACAAACAUCGGAGUUGCUGGAGUACUGGUCCUUAUAAGAAUGUGUCUUUUCCGACUCUGCUACUUGGUCUUCCUUUUUGGGAACUUUGGAGUCAGUCCCUGGUAGAACUUCAGCAGCAGGGAUGUGUGAAGGAUUCAUAGCAUCUCUUGAGCAAGGAAUUUUGCCAUCUGUAACACCCCCAACAAAGUUAAGCACUGAUUCCUAUAUAUUAUCGGUGAAAUUCUAAACAUGAGAUUUAAUGACAGUUUACAUAACUUGCAUGGCUAAAUAGUUCAUUGACCUAUUGUUAUUGUUUUAGUCACAUCUGUGUAAGUUUGCUACCAACACUAUCUGGAUUUCCUUUAACUAAUUCAGUCAGGCUGGGUAUAGUACUCUCAAACUCUUAAGCAAUUGAUUAGUUUCCAGUUCAAUUCUGAAUUGACAGUCACACACACCUACCAACCCCUUCAAAGAAUCAACAUUCAUCCCAUCGACUAGGAAUAAAAAGAAGAAAUUCAGCAGGACAUCUAGCUACAGGGUUUAAAAAUUUUGAAUGGAGGAUUCAAAAUUCUGGAUUUUAACUAUUCCAGUAUCUGAAUCCUUAGGAAUCAACCGCACCAAAGUGUUUAGGCCAGGUUUAAUAGGUAAUCACCAGUUAUUAUUCCAAAUGAGACAUCCAACUCAUACUCACUAAAGUAUAAUAAAGCAUUUUAAUAUUGUAGAAGUGGCAUUUUUUACUUUAAGAUCCAUAAAAGACCCUAUUCCCUGACUCUAGGAAACUAAGCAAAGUAACAGAAGGAACUUCUAAGGAAAAACAGGCUGCGAGAUCAAAUUCGAGUAGCAAAGAAUAUUUUUAAUCGCAUCAUGCAACAUUUUUUGAUGCAAUAUAUGGCUCACUACUUACUGCUGGAUAAAGGAAACAGUGAUAGGGUAAAAACAUACCUGAAACAGAGCCCCAACAGCCUUCAACACUACCGGUUUGGCUAAUAGAAUCGACAGAACCUUCUCUAGGUACAGUUGCCAAAGCCUCAAGCUGUUUGUCAAGAAGAAAGUCAUCCUCCUUCAAAGAUGAAGAAGAAACAUCAGAAGCAUCUUCUAAACCCAAAACUUCUGCGGCAUCUUCCAAGCUGCUGGAAUUCGGAGCCGAAGGUACAUGAAAUGCCUCAUCCUCGUUACUAGAAUUAACGUUUCUAUCUUCUGGAAGAGGUUCAGCAUAGCUACCAUCUGCACCAACAAACUCCAUCUGAUUUGUUUCCUUGCCAGAUGUCUUAGCACUUUCAGCUUCGAAUUCUGUUGAAGUUUCUAAGAGACUCUUACCAUGGUAAUUUUGUGAUUCAGAAAGAGAUUCUGACAUAUUUUCGAACUGGGUGGUAUUGAUAACCACUGCACUGGGCUGAACGACACUAUUUAAUGGACCAGAUUCACUAUUUUGUAAGUUUUCUUCUAACUCAACAAGAGAACAUUGAGCGUCAGAAUCGAUUUUCAUUUGCAUGGAAUGGUCCUCUGCAACCCCUACAAUGUGAGAAAUUAUAGCAUCACCACUUACAAUCAGACUUGGUGGAGGGGACUUGGAUGGUUUAUCCUGCUGAGAAUAGUGAGGCUCCAGUUCUUCAAAACAAACCAUUUGAUUUGUCUCAGUGUGGAUACAAUCUACAUCACAGAAUUUCAAAUCUGGAAAAGUCGAUUUAUCUAGGCCGUGAUGAACAUCCUUUGCUUCAGAAAUAUCAGUAUCAUGUGUAGUAGAAUCUUCAUCAAACUUACUUUCAUUACACAUCUCUUUUUGUUGGCCGAUAUCUUCAAGAUCCAAUAUAGAUAAGGGAGACACAUUAGUACUUUCACCUGAUUUUCCUGCUUCCAAAUCUGGAAAACCCAAUUUAUCCAGGCUUUGAUGAACAUCCUUCACUUUCGAGAUAUCACCAUUGUGUGUUGUAGAAUCUUCUUCGACCUUACUUUCAUUACAUAUCCCUCUUUGUUGGCCAAUAUCUUCAAGAUCCAAUGUAGCUAAAGGAGAUACAUCGGUACUUUCACCUGAUUUUCCUGAUAGUCUAGGAUGCACAUCCAUGGAAAUAGGAUUUUGAAAUUCGAUCUCUGUUGUUACUUCGCUAAAAUCAACCUUUGGACAUACCUCUAAUUUUACUGGUACAUUCUCUUUCUGAUCUUUGACUGUAGCCUCGGGAAGUUCUUCACUCUGAAAAGUAAGUAGAUUAUUACUCCCCUCCUUUUCAUAUGAUCCAUUAGGAUUUUCAGUGUCUGAUAAGCAUGCACAGUCGUCUUCAUCCUUAAAACUGUCCUCAGAAGAAUAGGCGUUUUUACUUGCUCCCAAUUCGAUAGAGUCUGAGCAAAUGCCAGAAUGAAGUUCAGUUAAGGACAUCUUUUGUUCCAACGUAUUGGUUUCCAUCUCCUUCGAGUCCACAACCCCAUCCAUGGGCAAUGUAGCUGCACUCAUGUUACUGCCUCCAGUGAUAAUUGAUGACAAACUGUUUCUCAAAAUCCCAUCCGCCUUUUGCAUAAUAACUAUUUCUGAAUCCUCAGUUGCAGAGUCGCUAAAUGAAGCUUUGUUGGCUGAUAGCAUUCCAUUUGAAUUCAUUUCAUCCUUUGUUCCCACAUCCUUUACAAUAUACGGCGCACUUUCACGAAGUCCCUUAUCAUUAGGAGCAAUUUCAGGCCCUUCUGCUUUUACAGGAAUAGAACAAGGAGAACCAUUUGCUUGAUUGGGCAGAUCAAAAGAUAAUGACUCUGCUUCCUGGUCUGACACAAACCCCAGAGGUGAGCCCAUGGUAAGAGUUGAGGAGGGACUUUGAAAUUCUGCAUCAUUUUCUGUCUGACAUGCUGUGUUUUGUGGAGCAUUGGGAGUUCUUGAUGAACUAUAUUGAGUUGGACUGUCUGAUGGUUGGAUGUCUGCACAUUGAAAGGCCCAGCAUAUAAAGGUAAGUAUCCAAUGUAUCUACUAUCAGCUAAGACAAAGCAGGAUUGAUGAGAGUUAUGUAUUAAUAUUAAACAUAACUUUUAAGUAUAACGCUUCAACUAGGACGACUAAGCUAAACUUAAACUGACAACCUCAGGAUCGCAUUACAAUAUGAGUAUUGCUUCCACUUUUUAAGUGAGAGAAAGUCAUUCAAUCUUUACCUACAUACCUUAUAAGCUAGAAGGAAAAAAAGGAAACAAAGACAUACAAUAAAAGAAAAGAUCGACUACAAGAUUCCAUGAAAAUCAUUCUCAUCUCCACAUUUGUUGUUUUUUGUUUUGUUUUGUGUUUUAGCUGGAUAAAACUUUUCGUUAAGGUGUCCCAAUUCCUUUCUGCUGAUCCUGGUCCCUGGACACCAAUACCCAUGCUUUUGCAAAUUUUAUGAAUGUCCUUUGAUGGAUGUAUUCCCCACAACAAUGAAAGAAUAAGCUGAUUUAUUAUUCUAUAUUUCUAUUAGUACUUGUACCAAAAUUAUUAACCUUCGAUAUCCCUUAGAAUGCCCUGCAGAGUUUGGACCCAAUGGGACCAUCAACUUUCCCAACUUCACAUCCAGCACCCAAAAUAUGGAAUCUAAUCUUUACCGUCAAAAUCACAACCCUUCACCUAAACCGCUGUACAACUAUCGAUCAUUCUUAUUAAUCAAAAUUCAACAAAAUUGAAAACUAAUAUUGCUAUCUCAAAUCGGAUAACUUGUAAAAGCUAAAAUUUGUUCACUCUUUCAAUAUGUUAGAUUCCCCUUACCCUACAAUCAUUUUAAUAAUGGGGGUUUGUUUGGUUAGGCAUGAAAAACAAUUAAUACAUGCAUAGACACUCCAUGUCAUUGUUACCGAACUUUCUCAAUCUAAAACGGAUAACAAACCCCACAAAUAAAAUAACAAAAGCAAAAUUCAAACAAAACACAUAUCAAUCUAUAGAAGGAAAAAAAAAACACUAGUAAUUAAACCAAUUAAGUAAAAUAACCAAUUAGUAAACAUUAUGCUUACCCUUUGCAGCAGCAGCAGUAGUAGUAGUAGUAGUACCCUUUAGAUCUGUUUCCGCAAACUCAUUAACAGCAUCUGAAAAUUCUUCCUCUUCUGAUUUAUUAGAUAUUUGUCUAUCAAUUAAACCACUACCCAUCUCCUCAUUCAAAUUAUUUUCACCUAAUAAAUCAAAAAGUAAAUAUUAAAUGAAGUAAAAAACCAACAAUGGAGAUAAAAGGGGGUAUUCUAAUUGAAUAUUCACAGAAAUCAAAAAGACUUAUUACCCUGAUUAUUACUGUGUUCUUGAUAAUUAUCAUCAUCUUGGGAUUCGUGUAUGAUAAACCCUUGAAUUUUGCCACAAACCUUCUUAUGAGCUCUUCGUUGUUUAGCACUUGGAUGAGGAUUUGGGAAACCCCAACCACACUUGUUACAAAUGUGACCACUCUGCAUCAUCUUUUUUCUUCACUCUGAACAAAAACCCCAUUAACAAAACCAAACUCAAUAACAAAAUAAAUAACCAAAACAAAAAUUUAUAAAAAAAUGUGUUAAAAAAACACAAAAAAGUUCAGUUUUACACAGAAAAUGACCCCACAUUUCCAAGAAAAAGAAAGGGAAACAGAGUCAUUCAAAACUCUCUCUCUCUCUCUCUCUCUCUUUUUUGUCUUUGGUUAGUAUAGCUACCUACCUCUCUUUCUUUGUCCUUUGGGUAUUUUUCCCUCUUCUUCUCUCUUUCUUUCUUUCUCCUUCUUUGUUUGUUUGUUUUCUAAGUUUUUCUCUCUCUCUCGCUCUCUCUAUCUCUUAAAAACCAAAGAAAGAAACUUUAUUGCGUUUAAAUCACGUUUAAGAUCUAAAUGGAAAUCAAUGUUGGUUGAUUGAUUGAUUGUUUGAUUAUCAUCGAAUACAUAAUAAUUAAUCGUGGAAACCAAGUAAAGUAAUCUUUUCUUGUUUUUUUUACUGUAGCAAAUUUAUUUAUUACCGCAUAGUCUACAGGAUAAAACACUCUAACCCUAAUUUUAAGUUAAAUAGACCACUUUUUAACGUUAAUAAUUUUUAAUUAAGACAUCAAAUCAUUGGAUUCCGACAUGAGUUUUAUCGGAUUUAGGUGAUUUAAACAUUGGUGGGCCUCAAUUAUGGAUUGGAGGAUCCAUGAUUACGAGAUUCUUCUUCAAAGCCAGGAAGAAGAAAAAGGUCUGAGCAAAGCUGCAAUAUGCAUGAAAGAGAGAAUCCAAUGAGUUGAAUUUUGGCAAAAGAAUAUGAAAGAUGUCAUACGUUUGGUAGCACAUUUAAUUAAUAAUACCAGCAGCCAAUCGGCAGAGAUGUGUUAGAGAGUGUUGACCACUUUGCCAGUUGCCAGACACAGGGUAUCAACAGGAGGUACUGCUACUGCCCUGUGCUUGUGGCCUGUGAUAUGAAACUAAAUCAUUAAUAUUGUACCUUCUAACUAGUGGUCCAUAUGCCCAUGAUCGGCUUUUUUUUCACAACCUUUUCAAUCCAGUGCUAUUUAGGAUUGUGAAUUCUAUCAUGAGAAUAGCACUCUUUUUCAGUCAUGUCUUUUCAUAGUGAUUAGUAUGUUUUUAUUGUGGAUUGAUGUUGUGAAGAAGUCAUGAGAAUAGACCAAUAACAUGAACCAAAAAGGCAAACACACACAAGGGCAAGGUGUUGAUUCAGUGGUUACAUUAACGCGCUGAAAACUAUGAGAGAAUUUGUUGAAACAAGAGUAAAAACAUAGCAAUGAAGAGCAGGAAGACAUGAAGAACCAUAAUUGUUAGCAAAACUGAUCCUGGUUAACAAAACAAUAUUCUGUUCUGGAGCACUGCAGGCAGAAAUGAAUAAAGUGGGUCAAGCAUAAAAGAUGAGAAUUACUUGUCAGUUACAGAUAAGAAAAUAACUAAGCCAACAAUAAAUGUCAGUGUUGACAAAACCCAAGCCAGUUGACAGACUAAAGUUAGUAAACUGUCUUUCAAGUUCACUGAACAUGGUAUUAUAUAUGCAAUAUCCUGGCUUUUAGCAUCACAUCUCAUUUAUGUAAAAUCCAACAUCAAAACAAGUACAGACAAUGAAUAUCAUGAAUGCAGAUAAAAGGCCAUUAAAACAUAAAGCAAUAAGGUAUUACCAUAGUAGCAGCAGUAGAAGGUGAAACAAAGAUGGAAAGCUGCUACUUUUUUAUAUCAAGGAUGAUUCUUUCUUUACCUCAACAUAUUAACAUCCCUAUAAUACAAACAUACAAACAGACAGGUCCCAGCAUUUACAGACUCGAUCCGAAAAUCAAAUACACUCUCCAAUCUUGUUCUCCUCAUUUUGUAUUUAGAACCAGCUGUACUGAUCAUCUUCUUUCCUCGCCUUAACCCAACCUGCCGCAUUGACAACAGAAUGAGUUGACUCAACUAGCCUGCACUAUACUGUACGCACACCAUGACCAAAAGACCUGUCAAACCAGACUCCGUGACAGCCUCAAAAGGGUAACAAAAAUUCACGAUCUGAUUGAGCUAUUGUGACUACUGGACUGUGCUCCGCUUACACAUUCUAUGCUUCAGCUCUUUUAGUAUAGUCCUGGUCGAGUUCAUAACGGAGCUUUCCUGGUAGGCUCUGCAUUGAAAAUAAAGGAUUUUGUAAGAAAACUGUUUUGCCAUGUGACAAACAAUUAUGCUUGAGAUAUAUGAUUCGACUGAAUCGAAAAAAAAUAAACGCACAACAGUUAAAGCCUAUAUUAGACAUCAUAAAUCAAGCAAAGUAGGGGAUUCACAAAGAUAACAUAACAUAGAUAUUGGGUCACUUACUAGAGUUGUGUAAUUCCACUUUAGUGCAUUUUGUCGUACUAUAUAUAUUUAGACAUGCAAAUAUCUACCCAGAUGAUAUUUUGAUAGCAAUACUUCUUUCACUGUGAUCCAAUGAUGUAUAUAUUUAAGGAUGCAGUCUAUUUUCUGGGGGCAUUUCCAACAUUUGGAGCACAACAUUAACACCACAUGAAAGAAUCCUCACGAAACCUCCCACCACGCAAUUUCUUGAGUCAACAACUUAUUGUAAUGAUGCAUUCCUUUUCUCACUAAACCUCCAAUGCCAAUCGCCAGGGAAUUUUGAAAACUUUCUAAAGAGCUAGUAAACAGACUGUUGCUGAGGUAUGCCAAUACAGAUAAUAAACAAGCUGAAUGAAGCAAUAUCUAUACUACUACUAAGAGCACCAAACAGCGGCAGUUGCUUAUUUUCCUCGAACCAAAUCAACAAGAAUCUUAGUGAUUCACUCCACAUCACCUUUGGAACUGAGAUAGCUAAUGCUAUCCACCCUUAUGGUUCUGUUCAAUACUUAAAUGGUGAAGAGGAAGAGGUCAAUAUGCAUACAUAAUCGGGAUACGCGUAUCUAUCAUAUGGCUUCUAUGAAGAGAUGGAAGGAUGCUAAGGUUAGUAAUGAGGUUCCAUGAUGAGAUAGGUGAUAUGUGAUAACAAACACAUGAGAGUAAAACGGGAAGUAAACCUAAAACUUUAUAGUUACUGACUUGCAUUCAUUAUGGCGUAGAUGUCAUAUGCCAUAAAGAAGUGUGAUUCAUUGUGAUGUGCAUGGCACAAUUUUGAGAUAUAAGCAAAUAAAGUAAUGAGUAUUAAUAAAUAUAAAAACACGCUCUUUUUUCGGUAUCUUGGCAACGGUUGAAAGAAGAAAACAUCAAUUAAAGGUGAGAACUCUUUGGAAGAGGUGUAAAUUUAAUAACAUGGAUUGUUAUCUUCUCUCAUGUUAUUCAUAAACUUGCUAAAAAGAUGAAAAAGUUCAGGAUUGAGAUCCAAUUACGAAACCUGGGAUGAGAUCAUCAAUCAGUAAAGUCUAUUACACAGUGCUAUUAACUCGUGUGGGAUCUAAAUUAAAUGUUAUAAAUGCCCAAAUUGAACUUCUGCACUAGUCGUAAAUUAAACUUGAAGGUAAAAGUGAUAGCAUACAUCUCUCAACUUAAUCACAAUCAACAAGAUACGAGUGUUAAAAUCUUCAAAGAAAUGAGAAAUCAAAUCACUACGUGUGUUAAUCCCUAAAGCUGACGUGAGAGCUCUGAGACUACCAUGGUAGAUACUAUAUUACACAUGCAGUUUAAGUAACCACGACUUUAGAAAUUCACAUUGAUGUAGAUUAAUUAAUAAAUGCCCUAAUUGAACUUCUGCACUGGUCAUACAUUAAACUUGAAGAUAAAAGUGAUAGCAUACAUCUCUCAAUUUAAUCACAAUCAACAAGAUACAAGUGUUAAGAUCUUCAAAGAAAUGAGAAAUCAAAUCACUAUGUGUGUUAAUCCCUAAAGCCGAUGUGAGAGCUCUGAGGUAGAUACUAUAUAACACAUGCAGUUCAAGUAACCACGACUUUAGAAAUUCACAUUGUCGUAGCUUAAUUAAUAAACCAAAUGACUGCUUUCACUCUACAUAUAUAUCAUAGCUUGCUAUAUCACAUAAAUGUGCAUUCAAACUACACUAGUUACUAAUUAGAUGUUAUGUACUAGUCCAAACUCACAGAAUCAAUCAAUUAAUCAAUAUUAUUUAUAAUCAACAAAUUCACAAUUUAAUCACAAUUAACAAGCUACAAAUGUUAUGUUCAUCAAAGAAAUCAAAUCACUGUGUGUGUUAAUUUCUAAAGCUGGCUUGAGAGCUCUGAGACUACUAUCGCAGAUACUAAGUAUAUUACACAUGCAGUUCAAGUAACCACGACUUUAGAAAUUCUCUAACAUUGACGUAGCUAAUUAAUAAAACAAAUGACUGCUUUCAAUCUACAGCUACAUUAGAACUCGCUAAUUCAAAUAAAUGCGCAGACAAAUUAUUCUAGUUACUAAUUAGAUGUUAUGCAUUAGUCCAAACUCACGAAACCAAUCAAUAUAUAAUUCAUAAUCAACAUAUUCACAAAGAGAUGAUACAUUUUAAGUAAUAAAAGUAAACUAAAUUGCUGCGAAAUCGACCUUAGAAACACUGGUAGCAAGAGCUUGUCCUUCCUCAAAAUCCUUGAAAAGCUUAUCAUGAUCAGAAAUCUUACAUUCGGGCGGAGUUUCAAACAAAGAAAGCGAAAAUCUCUUAUAAAUCACACCAACAUCGAAGUAAAUAAUACCAGAACUUGGUAUAUCUACUCGAAUACCUUUAACAGGAAACCAAAGAAACAAUUCUUGAGCUGAAAUACCAGAAAGACCUUGGAUCUGACCAUAACUAAGUACUCCAGUAACAUUUCGAUCAUAAUGUACAGUAUUUUCAAAUUUAGCAUCACAAGCUUGAUCAAGAUGAACUUCAAAUCUUCCUUUAUCAUCUAAACUGAAUUCUUUAACACCUUUUGGAAUUAUACCAAUAGGUAGACCAUGUGAUUGAAGAACUUCGUAUAUAGAAUCAGAAUCAGAAGAAAACGAAGAGAUGAUUAAGUUGAAAAGAAGAAAAAUUGAAAGAAUUGAAGAUGAAUUCAUCAUGGGUUUUUUUUAUUUUUCUGUCUUUGUGUUUAAUUGAUCGGUUUCAAGUGUAGUGUUUAUAGUGAGAAUUAGGGUUAGGGUUUGGAGAGAGAGAGAGAGAAAUAAUGAAGAAAGGAAGAUGGAUUAUUAUGAAGAAGAGAAGAAGAAAACAGAAAAAUUAUGAAGAGGAAGAAGACAGUGGUGCCAGCAAAAUUACAGUAAGGAUUGAGAUGAGAAGAAUAAUCAAUUAUUGAGAGAGAGAGAGCAUGGUGGGUGGGUAGCUGAUGCUGACCUGUUCUGAUUUAACACUAGCCAUUAGAUCUUCAUUCUAAUUUUAAUCUUUUUUUUUAAUUAUUUUCCACAACAUUAAAAAAAUAAUAAUUAAAUUUUGCGCAAAAACGGACCCAUUUAAGGUGUGGAAAUAUACAAUUGGCCCGGUUAGGGAAUUAAUCGUAAAAAAAGCCCCAACGUGUUUUCCGUGCCUUAUGGACCAAAUAUACCCCUAGCAUCGUCUCUCUUCUCCUUCGUAAUCUCUUUUUCUCCUUUCUUAUCUCAAAAUAAAAAGUACUGAAAGAAAAAAAAAAAAAAAAAAAAAAAAAAAAAAAAUUAAAUACAUAAUCAAUCAUGAAAGAAGAAGAAAAAGAAGAGAGAGAUUCAUAAAGAACUUUUAACGAAAAACCGUUAAUAAUUGAAAGUGAAAUUUUGAAAGAAGAAAAAUGAUUGUUAUUGUUGUUUUUCAAAUCUAAGAGGGCUACCAUCAGAAACUACAAUCAUCUCACCUAUGGAUUAAUUCAAAAUCACAAUUAUGUAAAUUAAAGUAGCAAUCAAGCUUGAGAUGGUGAAGUAAUGGCUGCUGGUGAACAUAAAUAACAUGGGAUGAAAAUGAUGUGUUUUGGGCCGUAUCAACUUGACUUUAAACUACCAAUUGGGCCUAACUUGAGGAUUGUUAUUUCAGUCACAACAUAAACAUAAAAUGCAAAGACUUGUUUGCAUAAGUCACAAACACAUACAAACAUGCAAAUAUUUGUUUGCAUACUCGCAACAACAACCACAUAAACCAUAAAAUGCAAAGACGUGUUUGCACUAAUCACACACAUAAAUAUAAAAUGCAAAGAUCUGUUUGCAUCUAUCACAAAUAGAUAAACCAUAAAAAUGCAAAUACUUGUUUGCAUAUACACACCACAUCUGGGCAAUAGUUUGAAUUUAUUUUGCUAAACAAAUGUACACAACAGAUAGUUCACUAAUUGAAUUGAAAUUGUUCCAAUUAAGAAGAGAUUAAGAAUAUAAUUUAUUUGAAAAGAAGAAACGUAAUUGUGGUGGUAAGAAAUCUCUAGAAAAUAAAAAAGGGUAAUAUUGGAAUUAAAGUUAUACUUAAAAUCUUGUUAGGGCAUUUUUUACAAUUUUUAUGUUAAAUGGGUAUUUUCUUAUCCCUACCAAUACUUAAUCAGGGCCUUUUUUAAAAUGAGUUUCUUAGCUGGGCCAUUUGUGUUUUGCUCCCCCUUAAUGAGGUCCCAGAACCAUUUCCAUGUUUAACGAACUCAGGAGGAGAGUUUUUUUCCCGAUGCGAAACUUUUACCAAAAAAGCCCAUUUCUCUUUUACUAAAAUCAAAUAUAUCUUUUCCAAUACAAAGGGUUAUUAAAUAAUUUUAAUAUAAAUAAUUAAACUUUAUCAAGUAGUUACCUACAAACUAGGAAACUAAUAUUGUUUUUACCAAACAAGGAAACUAAAUAUGAUAUACGUCUAACAGACGUGCAUUCACUUAGUUUUAUUAAUAAACUCAAAGACUUAUUUUAAACAAAAUCAUAGAAUCUUUAUUUGAAUUUGCAUAAAUCACAUGAAAAAGUUUUUAUUUGAGUUUACACUGCUUUUUAACAGGACUUUAAAAAGGAUAAUUCUACAGUUGAACAAAGUUUAGACACAAUUUACACAUGAAUUAUAGAGCUGCAAAAUUUCAGGUUCACAGUCUGGGCCUUACUACUAGUAGUAAAUCAUCUUUUUCCACACAUAACAGAUCCUACAUGUGGUUAUUCCCUUCAUUCUAAUAAUUGUUAUAAUUAUGGGUGCAGCUGCUUAGAGCAUCUCUAAUGCACGGUGUAAAAAUAGUUUUUUUCUAUAAUUUUGUCCCUAAUGCAUAUGCUAUAACUCAUGCUAUAAAUGCAUCUAUAAGCAUGGUUCAUUUUGGAACAAAAUAUACAACCUUCUAUCUCUAACAAAUGAUUUAUUUAUUAUAUAUUUUGGAAAGUACAUCAAUAGUCUUUUUCUUCCCCAUUUGUUGUAUUCUUUUUACAUCAAUAGAAGGUUGUAAAAUUUAUGUGCAUUAGUCUUAAAAUAAAAGUUCUAAAUUUAGAAAGUUGCAAAAUCCUAGAAAAUGCUAUAAAUGCUGAUGUGUCACCUAUGUGGCAUGCUAAAUUUAGACAGUGUAUUAGAGACUAGGAAAUAGAGAUAGAAAAGAAAGUAGUAUAAAUGUAUAAUGUAAAUAAAAAGUGAUCAAAACUCUAAAUUUACCGAUUGGUCAAAUUGAAGUUAAAUACAAAGCAAAAUCAAUGAUACCAAAAAUGGCAUUAUUCAUAAAAAAAAACAGGACAACAAGUACAUCCCCCAGAAAAUAAUAUUCAACCUCGCUGAAAAAAAAAAAAAGUGCAUCCAAAAUAAAAUAAUCAAGAUCAAAUUAAAACAAAAUAAGAGUGACAUACAUCUUCAAGAAAUUGGGCAGGGACUGAGGCUUUCAACAUGAGGUAGGAAAGCAUAUUUAGCAUAUUUAAAUUUCAACCGCUUGAGCUUUAAAGACGUCAACUGUUGAAACUGAACAUCAUAAACAGAGUAUACAUGUUCAUUUCCUUCCAUACCUCGUAAGAUAAAGAAUCUACCAUUUCCGUAAGUAGCAAGAACUUCUGAAAAUUGCCAAUUCUCCGAAAAUUUAUAACCAUAUGCUAUGAGGUUCACACUGUAUAGCUUGUGCCAUUCUCCCCUUUUUAGGUCCUUCAGAACCCAAAUAUCCCAUUGACAUAGCUGACGACUCUGUACCUCUUUAUUUGGCACCACAUGAGAGGGACAACCUUCUAUUUCGUGUAACACUUCUACUCUAGGCCUACAACAUACAGGGACUUCUGACUUGUAAAACUUCUCCCCAGCAGUGUCAAAAGAAAUCACGACCAGAGACUCUACCCUAUCAUUUUCAUAGGUCCCAGAACAACAAAAAUGGAAGACUUCUUUGAUGAUAAGGUAUCCAUAUUUUGCGACAUACCGACCACGUAGGCGCUUGAAAGGUGAAUAUACCCAUUUCCAUUGAGGAAAAGUAGAACCAAGAGUAAGCAUUUCACAUCUCAAGAAUCUGUCUUCGUCAAAAACAAGAGAAACUACUUUAUAUUCCCCAGUAGAACUAUGGAAUGUGAUUCCACGUAGAAUAUCUAAUUCUUCAUGCCAUCGUGUACAAGGAGGCAAUUCAACGAACUGUUUAGUAACAGGAUUAGCAACUAUUAGACGUCCCACACUUGGCAUAUCGUCUAGUAAAAGUAGUCCAUUGCAGCUACUUCUCACAACCUUUUUGUAUUUUAAUUUUAAUCGACUAAUCCUGAAACUUCCGUCAUUUUCAAUCUGUAUAUUAUUAGGAUCAGAAAAUCUGAAGUUCUUUACUUGUGGAAAUAACGCAGCUCUUGGUAUGGCAAGAAACCCAGGAAUUGAUUGGCGAAGGUGUGCAUCGAUAAAUCUGGAACUGUUUAAUAACUCAAACCAUUGUUUGCAAUUAUACAUCAUUCUGUGAACUUUCUGCGCACGAAGCCUCAUAACCGUGUUGAAUACGAGAUCCUCAUCGAUAUAUGGAACCACCAAAUCACUGUUCUUGUGCUCACAAAUGUUCUUGCUUACAAGAUCUUUGUGAUUUUCCAUCUUCAGCUAAUAUGAAAUUUGCUAUCUUAAUUAAAAAAGAAAGAAAAAAGAAAAAUUAGAUAUAUGAAAGGUAUCUUAAAAAAAAUGAGCUAAUACAUAUUACAUUACUUUACAAAAGACGAUAAUUUUAUAAUAAAAGAUCACGUAAAUUACAAAUAAUUCGUCAUACACAAAGAACUCUGAAUCAAUAGGUAUAUAUGGACGAAGUUGGGUUGGUUGCAAUGCAACCCGACUCCUAGGAUAAAGUCAAUGCAAAAUGUCCUCCAACAAAAACUUACUAAUCAACAAGAAAUCCAAACAAUAGCACGGACUUACAUCCCAUGCUAAGAUACUUACAAUAUUUCAGGGGAGCUAAAAUUGCCGCGCUGGUUUUUACACCAUCCACGUUUUUCUGACCCAUAUGCCCCUCAUUUUUAAAACUUUUUAAUUAAAUAAAUGUUAAGAAAAGGUUAUUCAAGUCAAAUUACUUAACAAGCUCGUGAAGUGGUGACAAACAUAUAUUCUAUCUUGAAGUGCUACCCAUGAUGAGCCAGAUAGAGACCAAGGUAUUCAGAACACCCCCAACCCCCUUUCCCAAUUCCCACAUCUUUGGAAAUUUUAUAAAUUGCUAGAUAUUGGUAGUAUUAAUUAUUUUAAAAUGGAUUUAAAAGAAAAAAAAAGAAAAGUUGGUAUGUGUAAAUGUGACCCCCCUGCUCCCUAGGAAGCAAACUGCAUACUCCAAGAUUAAUGUUAAUUAAUUCAAACUUAUUUUCUCUACCACAUUGGAGUAUCUGAUUCGUAAAACAAUUGAAAAUAGAUUUGUGGGUGAAUUAGGCGAAGAAGAAAAGAGCACAGAGACGAAAGCGUGGAAGCUGAAUCCUGGAGAGAAAGAUUUCAAUUUUCAGGCACGUAAAUAGAAACGUAUAUUCCUUCUGUUUGAAAUCCGAUACAACACCUCUUUCUCUGUUAAUUAGUAAUUACUAUGGUUGAAUACAUAUUAUAGAUUGAAAUAUCAAGUUGUCUAAACACCAAACACAGCCAAUAAGUCAAUAAAAUUUCAUCACUGAAAACACCAAAAUCAAACACUGUAUUUACUUAAUAAUUAGAUAAAAAAAUCCACCAAAUUAAUUACUUAUGAGCACAAAUAAUAUAUCAUCAAAGUAUCAAAUAAUUUUGCAUUUUCCAUUUUCAGUUAAGCUAGCGAGGUACAAUGCCCCCUACCUGCAAGGUACCUAUCAUCACAAACUAAUAGUAGCCAAAGUUUUACAUGCAUGGCUGUUGAGACUUGAGAGUGCUACACAUAAUACGAAAUAUCGCGAUAUAUAUCGUUUUUCUGACAAAAUGGUACGAUAUAUUUCUGAUAGUUACUCUUUAAUGGUUCUGUAAAACAUCGGCCGAUAUUUACCGAUAUUUGGUGAUAUUUUCCGAUAUUUUCUGAAUUUUUUUUUUUUAUUUUCACAAUAAUACACAAUAAAAAAGGAGCAGCAACAAUAACAACAGCAAAGACUACUUCUUUUCUCAAAAUCGCUGGAACAAAAGCUCAAUUUGAUCAAACAAAAAAUUCACAAUUUGAUCAAACUAAUAAUUGAACAAAAAAACAAAAACAAAAAUCAAAUUUUCAAUCGAAUAAUAGAGAAAAAUAUACCCUAAUUGUAAAAUCAUACAUUAAAAGUGUGGAUGAGAAUCAAUACCUGUAAGCAAUGAAGAAGAUUUUAAGCAGAGGUGGUGUUGAAGAAAUUGAAACUAUAACAAGUAAUUAUCGCCGUUUGUUGAAUGAAGAAGAUUUUUAGCAGAGGUGGUGUUGAAGAGAUUAAAACUAUAACAAGUAAUUAUCGCCGUAUCGCCGUUUCGCCGUUUGUUGAAGAAACUGUGGUGGUGAAGAGAUUAUAUAUAGUUGUUUGUUUCGGUGAGAAUUGAAAGAGAAGACGGUUUUAAGAGAGAGAGAGAUAUGGAGUAGAGCCCGAUGUUUAGAAGGAAUCCUUGUUAAAUUGAUAGAGAUAGAAUCCUUGUUAAAUUGAUAGAGAUAGAAUCCUUGUUAAAUUGAUAGAGAUAGAAUGGAAAUCUAAGGAAUUUAUACUGAAGUGCUUCAUCAUCAAGUUGAAAUUGGAGUACAAACACUACACGGUAUAUUGAAAAAUAAAUAGAAAGCCAGAGAUGAUAUUGAAAAAGGAAAUAGAAAACAGACAAGAUCGAACCAUAGCUUUUACCAACGAUUUCUAAAAACUGUAAUUGAAGAAGAAGAAGAAGAAGAAAGAGAAUUUUGGUACGUUUGAUAAGUGAAAGGAUUGAUUCAGUGGUCACAAGAAUAAGUAUCAUUGAAGAGUACUGGAUAGAAUUUUAAAGUUGUUGACACUCGAGAACCCAAACGAUUGACUUUAGAUUUAGAGCACGGCUGUCGCUGUGGGCUGUGGGCUGUGGCACGCACACGAUUAACCGUGUACGAUUCAUUACGUGGGCAAAAAAAUUCUGACCUCUCUCUCUCUCUCUCUCUCUCUCUCUCUCUCUCUCUCUCUCUCUCUCUCUCUCUCNNNNNNNNNNNNNNNNNNNNNNNNNNNNNNNNNNNNNNNNNNNNNNNNNNNNNNNNNNNNNNNNNNNNNNNNNNNNNNNNNNNNNNNNNNNNNNNNNNNNUUGUACUAUAUUCUCAGGUACUUACCGAAUCUCUCUCGUUGUGAUGCAAGACUGACACAAAAAUCUUGCAGUCCAUUUGGCCUUGUUUGUUUACAGGCCUUUGGCCUUCUUCAACAAUAACAUAGACAUAAUAUUGAAAUUUGAAAGUUAGAAGCUAUUUUACAUAGAAAUCAAAUUCUUUUACAGUUUUACAUAUAUUUUAUUUUUUCAAUUUAAUACAUAUACGUAUCCAGCAUGCAUGUGAACAAAAUAAUGAACUAUUUCCUGCAUGGGGGUAGAGGAGAUCCACAUAGAUGAUCAUUCCCUACAAAUGACUCAGGUGAGAACUUUGUUGUCGGAAUUUGACCACUCAGUCGAUUGUAUGACAAGUCAAGUUUUUCGAGUUUAUUGAAAUUCUUGAGGUAUUUCGGGAUUUUUCCUGUCAAAGUGUUGUGGCUAGCAUUGAAUAUUUCAAGUUGAGGUGCCAAGAAUGAAAAUGAAGGUGGAAUCUCACCAAAAAACUUGUUGUGA
This 67350-nucleotide long non-coding RNA is filed under the name Aquilegia coerulea. RNAcentral's name for it is "long non-coding RNA (ACOE_LNC001940)". The record is from RNAcentral. Lineage: Eukaryota; Viridiplantae; Streptophyta; Magnoliopsida; Ranunculales; Ranunculaceae.